CUGAAAAUUUCAUCCAUAUAUCUAUAAUCUUUGGUGCAGCAAAGAAUAUUUAGCUUAUCAAGAUUGAAAACAUUAAAGAUACACGCACAUAGUCACACAUAGACAUGAGGUUAUAUGAAAGGAAUCUAAAGCAGAUACCAGAUUUCCAGCACCAACUGUGCAGAAGCCAUUUAUGAUGUCCACAAGAACAAGACCAUUUACUGUAUCUUCAGCUAAAACCACAGACUCCUGAUCCAGAGGAAUCUCCUUCUUUAGGAGUUCAACUGUCUGUGACACCAUUUUGGUUUUCACUUACCUGAUAAUUUCAGAGAUAUGCCUAACAAUUGUGUGUAUUCAAUGUCACGGACAGGUUUUUAGUGAAAUCUUUAUUUUAUAAUGCAGAAAAAAUAUAUAAGGUGGUGAACAUGAUCUGCAUAGUGUUAUCCGUGACUCAGUCAAAUGGAAAAGUCAAAGAAAGGAUAAUGAAGUAGAUUUUUCCAAUAUAGAUAUGUUUUAGAGAUACUUCUAUAUAAAGAUUUCUAAAAGAAAUAAUAAAAUAAACUAAAANUUUUAAUUUAAAAUUAAUUUAUUUACAAAUUAAAGAUUUUAAUUUUUUUUAUGUAUUUGUCAUCUAAAAUUUUAAAGACUAAAUAAAAAUUAUUAAAAAUAAAAGACACCAUGGAUUUUUCAAGAUUUAGUCUAGAUCUAAUUUAAAUUCAAUAAAAUAGAUUGCAUCUAUUUUAAUAAAUCCACUUUAAAUUCAAAUUUUUGAGUUUAGGUCCAUUUUAACUAGAUCAAUUAGAUCUAGAUUUUUUAAUCCAAUAGUAAAUUUAUAUUGAAUGUAUCAUGUCAUUUAGAUCAAAUAUAGUGAAAUCGAUAGAAUAUAUUUUUCUAUUAGGUUUAUUAGAUAUGAAUCAGAUUUAUUUAAUUUGAUUUCGACCCUCAAUCGUGUUAACUUCGAUUUAGUUAAUUCAUUUUGACUUCUUUAGUUACCUCAUCUCAAGAUAAGCUAGAACUGAAUUCAUUAGUUUAAAAUAAGUCUUUUAUGUCUCACGUUCAAAAUCAAAAUAAAAAAGUUAAUAUUAAAAAUGAUUAAUGACAUUGUUGUAAAUAAAUGUUCAAGUUAGAUGUCAGAAAUGUAAUGUUUCGACAUCAAAUAGGCAUAUGACGUCGAAAACUCAAAUUCUGACACAAAUUGAUGUUGGAAAUUCAAUUUUUUGACGUCAUAUAAUUGUAUGAAUCAUUACAACGUAAGUAUAAGUGACCAGUAGGCUGUCAAAAUACGAAUUAAACAUUAGAAUUUUGGGGUUUCCGACCUUAAUUGAAGUUGAAAAUUCUCUUUUUUGACGUUAUAUAGCUGCAUGAAUCAUUACCACCUGAAUAAACAUGACCUUUGGAUUGUCAAAAUAUGAAUUAGAUGUCAGAAACCCCAAAUGCUGACGUCAAUUUACAUUGGGAAUUCUCGCUUCUACUUGAACCAACAUCUUUGUUGAUGAGUGCGAGGAAGAACAAAUGUCACUUACCUCUAGCAAAAGUGUUUCUGUUGGUUGGGAUAUUUCAUUAGUUUCAAACUCCCAUACUUCCAAGUGAAUCAACUAGUUCGUUCAUAGUGGAAGGAAGAAUAAAUGUCAGUUUUGGGUUAUUUAUCAUAAAUGUAUGUGUUUCCGGAAGCGAAUGUCAUGAUUUUGUUUGUGUUUUGAUGAAUUCAUUUUGCGUUUUCGCGUUCCAUUGAAGGUCCACCACAGUGAACAACACGUCACUAUUCUUCAUUGGUGCCAACAACUUACUUCUAUCAAGGUUUGUUUCUUGGUUUUGAUAUACAUUGUAAUGUACUGAUAUAUUACUUAGAUACAUGAAUUUUAGUUUCCCUUAUUGUACUUUUUGUAUUGUUUCUUGUAUGUGUAAUUGAUUUUUGUACAUUUCUUAUAAGUUAGACAUAUUUUUUAACGUGAUUUUUGGCAUUUUAUCUUCAUUUAUUUUUUAAAAACAGUAUGAAUCGAAGUUGAAUGAAUGAAAGUCGUUUCGGUCAAGAGUAUGAAAAAGGAGUUUUUGAGUUUUUACAAUGUGUUCAAGAACACGGAAACUCUAUGAAUGGAACGUAUUUUUGUCCUUGGUUCGCUGUCUUAAUCAAAUAUGUCGAAACUUGGGCGACAUGCGUGAUCAUCUAUUCAUCUAUGGUAUAAUGAGGAAUUAUACAAUUUGGACUUGGCAUGGAAAAAUACUACUUAAGCCUAUAGCGUUAAGAGGAACAAAAUAUGUGGACGAAUGAAUCAAUGAUCAUUUAAAGGACAUGGUACGUGAUGUUGGUGAAAAAGUUUUUGGAAGAGCUCACUUUAUCAGGAUGUUCCAUACAAACAUAUUUAUUGUAGAAAAAAAUAAAAACAAUCAAUUUAAAUCAUUUUGCUACCUUUAACUGAAAUAAAAGUUCAAAUCCUUUAAACGUCAUUUAAAGGCAGUAGUGGAAAAACGCUGUUUAACGUCACCCCGUAGACGUCGGUUGUUCCGUCAAUUGACGUUAAACGAUGACCGGUGACAACUUCGUAAUUAAGUAGGGCAACUAGACGUUGGGCAAGACUCCAACCGAUGAGUGAAGAACUAUAGACGUCGGGGCCCUUCAACUAUGACGUCUAAAGGUCUGCCAGAUAAGGUGAAGAGUCGAGCUAUAGACGUCACAAUGACAAACACCGACGUCUAAAGGUCUCAGAGGUGGUGAAUAGUCGCGAAAUAGACGUCGGUGGAGACACACAGACGUCUACAGACUGACAGGUGGUUGAGUGUCAUUAAUGGUAUUAGACAUAGACGUCGGUGCCCUAUCGUAACCGACGGCUAUGUCUUGACUGUUAGGUGAAAGUGUCAUGACUGUUCUGCUACCUAGACGUCAGUUGCAUGGUAAUUGGCGGCUAUGUCCAACUAGACGUCAGUUGCUCAGAUACCCGACGUCCAUAAUCCGCACCAAUAUUAAUAUUUAAAUCAUAUAGACGUCACAUUAGUGACAGGACCGACGUCUAUAACCUGACAGACGUCAGUCGCGAUAGCUAACCGACGUCUAUAGUAACGUAAAUUUCAGAACACGAACCCGCGAGCAGUUACACCAUUAUUCAUCGUCUUCUUCCUCGCGCUUUCUGUUGCGACAUAACUUUCAGGUUCAUUUUCUCGCUUUUGCACCGUUUAAAUUUAGUUUUACUCCGAUUAAGUUACUCUUUGCUGAGAUAUCUUCCAUUUCAACCGAUUAAAUUUCGUCUUCGUUGCGUUUUGAUGCAGUUUGUGACGUGUUCUUGGGCGACGUUUUUGACCGUUUUUGGCCUAUAUUUUUGGGCCUGUAGUCCUCCAAUUCCCUCCAUUGCUGUUUUGAUAUGCUAAGAAGGUUAGCUUCAAUGUUUAAAACUUUCAUUGCAAGUGUGUUAUUGUCUUCUAUGUAUGCAUGUUAUUGGCUUUUGCGUUUGCAUGUUUUUGGCUUUUAUGUAUGCAUGUGUUAUCGGCUUUUGAAUAUGUAUGUGAUAAAUUUUAGCUUGUUAUUAUAAUUGGCAUGUUAGAUUAUAAGUAUGAAAUCACUGAGCGAAACUUAGUUCCCAUUUUAAAUUUAACACAAACGAUUAAUAUAGUAUGGAUCAAAGCUGGAUGAAUGCACGUCGCAUCUCUGAAGAAUAUGAGAAGGGUGUUUCGGUGUUCUUGCAAUAUGUUAAAGAAAAUGCAAAGUCUGUGAACGGGACAUAUUUUUGUCCUUGUGUUCGUUGUUCUAAUCAAAUACGACAAGACUUGGGCAAUUUGCAUGAUCAUCUAUUCAUGUUCGGCAUAACGAGAUCGUAUACCGUUUGGACUUGGCAUGGAGAAGUACUGGACCAGCCUAUGACGUCACGAGGAACAAAUUAUGUGGAAGAAUGGAUGAGUGAUCAUUUAGAGGACAUGAUACGUGAUGUUGGUGAAGAUAACUUUAGAAGAGCUAAUUUGUACGAUUCUCUUAUCAAUGAUUCUGAGCAACCGUUGUACCCAGGCUGCACGAACUUUACACGUUUGUCUGCAACUUUGAAGUUGUUUAGUUUAAAAGCAAGGAACGAAUGGACAGAUAAAAGUUUCACGCAGUUGUUGGAGUUGCUGUAGGAGAUGCUUCCAGAAAAUAAUACUCUUCCUAUUCCAGAAUGGGUCUUGAAUAUCAGAAGAUACAUGCUUGCCCCAAUGAUUGUGUUUUGUACAUCAAGGAGUUUGCUUCACUAAACUAUUGUCCAACAUGUGGUUUAAGCCGUUUUAAAAAGAAAUAUGUCAAAAACACUGAAGAAGGUAAUGAUGGUGCACCUGGUAAGGUCAUGUGGUAUUUGCCUAUAAUACCUAGGUUCAAACAUAUGUUCUCUAUUAAGGAGGAUGCAAAGAACCUUAAAUGGCACGUUUUAGGAAGAAAGUACGAUAAUCUUCUUCGACACCUAGCAAACUCACCACAGUGGAAGAAGAUCGAUGAAACAUUUCCAGAAUUUGGUGCAGAUCCAAGAAACUUAAGACUUGCACUUGCAACUGAUGGUAUGAAUCCGUACAGGAAUUUAAGUAGCAAACAUAGUUCAUGGCCAAUUAUGUUGAUGAUAUACAAUCUUUCUCCAUUGUUGUGCAUGAAGAGAAAAUAUGUCAUGUUGUCAAUGAUGAUAUCUGGUCCUAAACAACCUGGCAAUGACAUUGAUGUUUACUUAAAACCUUUAAUUGAUGAUUUGAAAUUGUUGUGGGAAGAAGGUGUCGAAGUGUUUGAUUCAGAUGUUGAAGAGAAUUUCCGUUUGCGUGCAAUGUUGUUUUGGACUAUAAAUGAUUUCCCAGCCUAUGGAAACUUGAGCGGUUAUAGUGUUAAAGGACAUUUUGCAUGUCCGAUUUGUGAAGAAAACACUAGUUACCUUCAAUUGAAGCAUGGUUAGAAGACAAUUUAUACAAGACAUCGGAAAUUCCUUCCUCGCAAUCACCCUUAUCAUAGAUUGAAAAAAGCAUUCAAUGGAAGUGCCGAGGAUGAGGUUGUGUGCAGACCCCGCAAUGGUGAAGAGGUGUAUAACGAAGUCAAAAACAUUAACAUUGUAUUUGGAAAACAUCAUAAAUGUACCUAUGCAAAAAAUGUUUGGAAGAAACGAUCAAUAUUUUUUAAUCUUCCAUAUUGGUCUAUACUUGAUGUUCGACAUUGUUUUGAUGUGAUGCACGUUGAAAAAAAUGUUUGUAUCAUUGGCUAUUUUAUAUUAUAAUUUCAAAAUAAUUGUUAAUAACUUUGAAAAUGUUAUCUUCAGUUCACACAUCCUCAAAAGCAGCCAAUGAAUGAGGUAUCAAUACCUGAAUAUGAUGAUGCUGAUGAUGGUGAUGACAUGGUUGAAGCGGAGGAUGAUCCCAUAUCAAAACUAAUGGCAAGAUGUCCCAGGUUUACCAAAGGAUCAGUAGAAAUAUACUGGGACUUAAGAGUAUUUGGUCUCCCCCCCACUUGCCAGUAUAUAUCACAUUCAAUGAUGUAUCAGAGAUCAUUUCGGGAGACAAGUGGUUGAAUAUUUCUAUUAUUCAACUCUGUUGCAUGUAAGACAAUUAAUUUUGUGUACCAUAUUAUUUUAAUUAAGAUGCCUACUUUGUAAUAAGUUAACUUUGUUGUUAUAGGUACAUGGACUCAAUCAUUGAAGAUCAAGGUCGGUCUUCCGUUUACAGAUUUGUUGAACCUCAGACCAUCCAACGUUGUGGUAACACAGAUGAAGUGAAACAAAAUUAUUUGCAAACAUGGAUGGCUGAGUCAAACAGAGACAUAUACCUUGUGCCAUAAAUUGACGGGUAUGCCUUGUUUUAUGUAAAAGGUAAUUAAAGUUUACUUAAUUAGUUUACUAACUAUUUAUGAUGUUCCAAACAGGGCUCACUGGCAACUAGUAGUCCUCAUUCCCAAAAAAAAUACAGUUGUCUUCUUAUGUUCGCUGCAUAAGAAGAUUAAAGAUGACUUGAAAGUCCUGCUUCAAGGGUAAGUGUUUCGCUAAAAAUGACUUUUAAUUUCAUCUCGGCCUUAAUUUUUAAUGAUUUCAUACUUAAAUUAAUAUUACUUUCUGUUUUAAUGUAAAUAGAGUAAUGGGUACAUCUCGAGGUCAGCUAAAUAAAGUGUUGUAUCCCAAGGUUUGGUGCAUUUAUAGUUUUAAUUCAUUUACUUUGUUUUUCAAUGAUCUUAAUUCUUGACUAUAUUUACUUUGUCAUUUUAGUGUAACAAACAACUUGAUUCAUGGGAAUGUGGGUACUAUGUGAUGUCUUGGAUUAAGACCAUCAUUCGAGCUGCCAUUACAGAUAAGUGGAAUGAGGUAAUAAUCAGGCUUACUUUGAAAACAUCAAAAAAUCAAUUAAUUCAUUUGAACAUAUAUCAAACCAUAAUCAAUUUUUUUUUAAUUGUGCAGAACUUCAACAAUUCAUUUGCUCUAACCGAAGGCAUGAUAAGGCAGAUAAGGGAAGAGUAGGCAACUUAUCUUAUCCAAAACUAGAACUAGAGCAAGACUUAUUUUUCUUGUUUUCAAUUACUUAGGUUUAGUUUAAGUUUAUAAUUUUUUUUAUUGAUCUUGAAAUGAAUUAUAUUUAUUUAUAGUUGAAACAAACUGUAAUUAAUUAUAAACAAUUGUUCUAGGAAAUUUUUCUGAUUUUCAGGUGUGGUUAUAUCCGAAAAAUAAAAUUUUAUUAAAAAAAAAUUGCCCGGUAGACAUCGGUUAAGGUAAAAUCUGACGUCCACAUACAUCAGUCAAUGCACAAAGCGACGUCCAAUAAGUAACAGUGCAGAAAACGAUCUGGCGCGUUCAUACGUCUAUUUUGUUGACCACUAACGUCUAUGGUAACGUCUAUGGUAACGUCUAUUAUUACUUCGUUUGACGUCUAGUUGGACGUGGGUUGGGUUCAAAACCGACGUCUAUAUAGACGUCUGUCAUUACUCUACUGAUGCAUAGUAACGUCACUCGAAUAGACGUCGGGAACGAAAAUGACGUUAAAAGCCCAAAUUAACCGACGUUAAACAACGCUUUUGCACUAGUGAGGAAAACUUAACAACUGUUUACAACCGAAAGAAAACAGUAAUCUAUUCAACAUAGUAAAAGUCAAUAAUGUUCAAAAUAACCCAAAAGAAAUAAAAUCUCCAUUCUCUCAAAGACCUCGCCGCUUUACGCAUCUGCUGGAUUAUCUGUAACGUUAUCUGCUCCUUAUAAUAAAAGGAGUUAUAAAAUCAUCCUACAAACACAAAAAAAGUAAGAGUGAGCUAACAGAAUAAACCUCAAAACACAAUACAACAUUUUUAUUUCAGUUGCUAAAUAUUUACUACAAUCUCCUAAAAACAAAAAUUUCAGUAUAUAGUAAGACUUUAACAAGAAAUACAAUAUCAAACCAUAUAUUCCAUAAAAAGGAAUCAUGAUCAACUCGUUAGUUCUACACCACGUGUCAAUUAAAGGCAACUCUUGUCAACUUCACCGCACCAUUCGUGUUUACCAAAACAUAAUGAUUUGAGUGGUCCUUCACCGCAACUUCAGACUUAUCUCCCAUACUCCUCAAGGCUUACGAGUAAAACUCCAAGUUGCCCUUAUCAUUACUAAACUCAUCAUUCGAAACCUUACGAGCGAGACAUUAAUCCCUCUCCACCCUCUCGAAUCCCAGUCUCUUCCACCGUCCCUCAUCGAUGAAAACACUCAUAUCUUCCAUCACCUCUUAAAGAUGAAGAGAUCCACCUUUCUACCCUCUCGCAAGAAGAAAUGAACCAACAUGGAUUAGGAAACUAUAAACAGAAAACAUACUUAAAGACAUAAACACCACCCCCAUCCCAUAGUUGGUUUAAUACCAUGACACUUUCGUUAAGCUAAACAUUGAUCACGAAAACAAUUACCACACAUCUUGUAGCUACAUACAAAGCAUUUCCUGCAUAACGACAUUCUUAAGAUAUUAAAAACCAUACAUACCACAAAAGUGCGAAGUCAAAUAAAACACAAGAAUAAGUCAACUAUACACUAACCACAACCUUAUAACUUGUUUACUAUAUAACAAGAUGAAAACCUAUAUUUGUUUCUUCAAAAACCCAAGUACAAGUUAUCAUCACCAUCAUCAAUUAUUAUAAGCCAACAGGGUAGUACCAAUGUCACUUAACUUUAUCAAACAUAAGCCCUUCUACACCCCAUAUCAACGUAGGCCUAUUCACCUUUACCUUAUAUCUAACUUGACAACAUCUAACCCUUUUUAAUGUAUGUCAAAUACGUAUCCAAAUGGCAAGGGAAUCCUAACCGAUAUCUCACCAUAUUUUAACGAACCACUCUUAUAACCACCCUACUGACCUAAACCUCUCAGCACCCAUUUUCCUGAUUAAGAUUUUUAAUUGCAUCCCAUAAUUUACCUAUACCUACACUGCACCAAAAUUGCAAGCCUACAUUUCUUAUGACCCACCUACUUUUCGCUUUUAACAACAUAUAAACUACCCUUGAUUUUACUACUCUAAACAACAUUACCUAAAUUUUUUCUUAGUACCGUACCCCCUUCCACAAGUCAAAAUUACCUAUAUCUAAUAUAUCUCUAUCAAAAUCAAACUAAAUAUUACUAAAACCAAAACUAAUAAAAUAAGAUUUUAAUGAAUCCCUAAAAUUUAAGAUUAUCCUAACAAAACUCCCCCAUAAACUUCAAUUUUCUAUCUUUUAUUCGGUUUCCAUUUGCAUCACCCUGCAUCAAGUUUGCUUCUUUCAAUCAUAUUCGAGUUCUUCUUUUUCCUUAUGGCCUUUUUGUCUUUUACCUUGGUUGACCUUUUUAAUGCUUUGACUGACUUUGUUAUGCCCUCCUUCUCAAUAACUUUGACCAACUCGUUUCUGACUUUAGACAAUUUUUCAAUAAUCUUGGUCGUACACUCAGCAAUAUUGGCCGACUUCUUCAUCUCCUUCAAAAUUUUACUCAUCAUAUCGUUUGCUAUCUCAAUAUCUGAGCUUCUCACACUUGGUUCUUCUCAACAUCUUCACAUUUCUCUUUUUCAUCUGGUUCGAGAACACUAUAUGCUUCUUCAUCCUUGUCAAGAGUUGCCUUUUUCAGCUCCUCAAGCUCGACCCUUGGUUUAUUUCAUUUGCUUCAUCCAGAAGCCUUUUUAUCCGUUGAAUCUCUUCAUCUUUUUGUGUGAGUUUCUUUUCCAAGUUUUCCUUCUCCACGUUCAUUAUUGGGAUCGGGCUCUCCAUGUCCACUGCUUCCGAGCUCUUUGCCAUAAACAAGAUUCCACACUUUUUUUCAUCAUCUUCUUCUUCUUCUUCCAUAAGAAGGUUUCUCUCACUUUUCUUCUUAGCUCGACAAAAUUUAGCAAUGUGACCGGACUUACCACAAUUGUAGGGCUUUCUCGAAUGCACUCGUUUGCAUAAUGGUCAUGCAUGCCAAACUUAAAACACUCAACUCCUAGCAGAUCUCCUCGGCCUUUUCCUUGUCCUUGGUUAUGCCAAUUUUGCUGACCGGUUUGCUCUUUAUCAUUUUCAAAAUUACCUUGGCCAAAUCUACCUCAUCCUCGACCUCCUCGUCCUCUGCUUCCAAGACCUCAACUCUGAGUAAUUCGAGUUUCACUUGAGUCAAACUAUGUUUAGUGCUUGAUCGUUAGAUUCCUUCUUUUUCUUCUUCUUCCACAGUUCAUGGGCCUUUAAUGACCCAUCUAACUCCUUCACGGUAAGAGUUGACAAAUCUUUUCUCUUCAAUAUUGAUCAUGAUACUUUCAAAAUCAUCCGUUAGGUUAUUCAAAUAGUUGACCGUGUAGGGAAGUCUAUUCAAUAAAUGGUGCGUUUUAAUAUUAAUUCAAUUUCACAUAUAUAAUUUGAUUACGUAUCUGAUUUUUGUAAAUUUAAUUUAAGUUUAUAAAAUAAUUUUAUAAAAUAAAAUUAGAUUGAUUUAUAUAAUGUAAUUUGAUAUAUUUUUAAUUAAUAUGAUAUUUUUAAUAUUAUGCCAAAAGAUUCAAUAAAAGGAAGAAGAUGGUUGUAACGAGUGGAAGAAUUGCAUUGACUUUUGGCAAGUGUAGGGUGGUGACUCAUUCCAUAUUAAUGUUGGAUUGCCAAACCGUAUUAAUUAUUAUUUGUUGGUUGAUUUCAUUGUUUUAUGGCUAUAAAAGGGAAGGUGAAAGUGUUUGGAAUAUGCAGAGAUCGAAGAAAACAUAGAUAUGGGGAGUGAGUAUAAGAAAUUGAUGAUUUGGGCUUUUGUGAUAACUAUUUCUUUCUCGGUCAUCAUGGAGGGAGCACUCGAAGCACGACACCUCAUGCAACUCGACCCCGAUUUCUGCGCCGUUUAUAGAAAAACAAUGAAUAUUUAAAGAAUAUUACAAGAAUAUUUAAAGAAUAUUACCGGAAUAUUUAAAGAAAAAACAAUGAAUAUUACAAGAAAAAACAAUGAAUGUUUAAAGAAUUUUAUGCGCAGAUAAAUUUGUAGUCUUGUAAAAUGUAUCUAUUGGUAAGUGAAUAUUGGUAAAAAGUUUUAUUAUACAAAGCAAAAUUUUGAAGUAUUAAAAUAAAGUUUAAAAAAAACAAUGAAUAUUUAAAGAAUAUUACAAGAAUAUUUAAAGAAUAUUACCGAAUAUUCAAAGAAAAAACAAUGAAUAUUACAAGAAAAAACAAUUAAUGUUUAAAGAAUUUUAUGCGCAGAUAAGUUUGUAGUCUUGUAAAAUGUAUCUAUUGGCAAGUGAAUAUUGGUAAAAAGUUUUAUUAUACAAAGCAAAAUUUUGAAGUAUUACCUUGGUCUCCUUCUUUUAAACCAUUCGAAUUGAGUUCUUAUAAGUGCGAAUUUCAAACAAAUUAGUCUCUACCGUUAAAAAUCGUUAAUCAGUGUUAAAAUUGCGACAUGUGGCACUGUUCGGUGAAAUGUGUCGUUUUAUCCAUUCCUCUCUUUCGAUCUCUCUUUGUUUCAAUUUGGGUGUUUCAAUUUCAGGAACAUCCCUGUUUUGAGUUUUCAUCUUCAUCCCUCUCUUUCGAUCUCUCUCUCCAAGGUACUCUCUCACUCUCUCUACUACUAAACUAUUUAAUAUUGAUUGUAGCUCCUUCGUUGCUUGUGGUGUGGUUUAGAUUAUUAAUUGCUCUUCCAAUUUAUUUGUUAGUCGAGGAACACGUGAACCUUAAUUUGAUGAAUUGUAGUAGAAGUUGCAGGUUCUCGUUUCCAAUACAGUUUGAUGAUUUGCAUCUCUAGAAAAUGGGUUUUUGUUUAGGUUGUUGAGACGAGGGAGAAUGUUUUGGCAUGAAUUACUUUUAGUCUGUCUUUUAGUAUUGAUGGGGAAAAGCUGCGUUAGCUACCUGCAGAGCUUUUUUCUUGUGCUAAUUUUGAGUUUACUUCUACAAUUUUUUUUAGUGGAAUUGGGGUUUGAUUUUUUGAAUUGUUUGGGUGGAAUUACGGUUUUGUUCGAGUGGAAUAAGUUUCCAUAUUGUCAUGGUUAUUUCUUUGCUCAUGUUGUACUGUCAAAUUUGCUGUUGGAUGUGAGAAAAUAAAUUAUGAAAAAAGUCUCUUUAACAAUUUUUUUUUGAUAAUUUUUUGACAACGCAUACGUGACAGUUUGUGAUUGAUCUGUUUCAAAUAUUUUUUUAAAAUAAAUUCAAACAUACCAAUAGAACUGUGACAUGUGUUCUGUUGUAAAAAAAUUGUUAAAAAGAAAUUGUUAAAAUAUCAUUGUCUAUAAAUUAUUUUCAUCUAUGUUAUUUUAUGUCACUGGUUAUGCAUUAUAGGGAUUUGCCUUGGAGAGAGAUCGAAAGAGAGAGAUGAAGAUGAAAAUUCAAGAGGGAUGUGCCUGAAAUUGAAACACCCAAAUUGAAAUAGGAAGAGAGAGAUUGAAAGAGAGGGAUGGAUAAAACAUCACAUUUCAGUGAUCUAUGCCACGUAUCGCAAAUCAAUAAAACUUUAACACGUCAUCUAUCCACUUCUGCACAAUUUUAACACUGUUAACGAUUUUUAACUCUAGGAGCUAAUUUAUUUGAAAUUAACAUUUAUAAAGACUCAAUUGGAAAUGUUUAAAAAAAAGAGAGACCAAAUUGGAAAUACCUUACAAAAAUAGGAACGUCUAAAUGGUUUUAAUAACUCCUCUUCAUUCUUCUCACCAAUACUUAUAAAACUUAAUCAUUUAAUUUUUCGUUUAGACUAGUUUUUCUUCGUUAACCAUAGCAUUUUAGAAAAAUAAGAUAAAAUUAAAGUAGAAGAUAAAGAAUGUAAAAGUAACUACUCUAUUGAUCUUGUACUAAAUUUUACGUUUCUAUUAUAAACAUUAUGUUUCUCUUAUGGAGUAUAUAUGUAUAUAUAUAUAUAAAUAUAAUAUAUAUAUAUAUAUAUAUAUAUAUAUAUAUAUAUAUAUAUAUNNNNNNNNNNNNNNNNNNNNNNNNNNNNNNNNNNNNNNNNNNNNNNNNNNNNNNNNNNNNNNNNNNNNNNNNNNNNNNNNNNNNNNNNNNNNNNNNNNNNNNNNNNNNNNNNNNNNNNNNNNNNNNNNNNNNNNNNNNNNNNNNNNNNNNNNNNNNNNNNNNNNNNNNNNNNNNNNNNNNNNNNNNNNNNNNNNNUAUAUGUAUGUAUAUAUUUAUAUAUAUAUAUAUAUAUAUAUAUAUAUAUAUAUAUAUAUAUAUAUAUAUAUAUAUAUAUAUAUAUAUGAGUUUUUUAAUGUGCGUAUGUAUAUUUUUCAGUUGGUACAUUUUAACAAUGUAUACCGUAUUAUAGUAGAAGAAAAAAUAUCCUCAUAUAUUAUGGAUUCUAAGUUUUAAAGUUAAGAAUAUUUAAAUAAUUUUCAUUCUCAAAAGUAAAAAAGAAAAGAAAAGAAACCUCCAAAUCCUUACACGCCUCUCUCAUUUCUUCUUCUUUCAUCUCUCUCAUUCCAACCUUUUCUCUAUCAUCCUAUGGUAGAUCCAACUGAAAAAAAAAAUUAGAAAUACUCGUCGUUAAAUAAUUUACCUUUAUAAAGAGUUGAGUCAUUGGCAUAUUCGCCUUUAGGCAAAGGUUCAUUCAAGAUUUCUUCAAUUUCAUCAUCUUCACUAACCUCUCUGAUUUCAUCAUCUUCAAAUGUUGAAUCGUCAUCUCCUAAAAAACCUUUAGAUUCCAUUAACAAUUCCUUCAAAUGUUAUUAUGCUUGUGAAAAUUAGAUAAAAUUAGAGAAGACAAAUUAUAAAAUGAAAACUCAUUAUAAAAUCAUUUUUUAUAAGAAAUUGUUUAAUAGCGAGUGUUUCUAAUUUCUUUUAGACGAAUUACCAAUUCCUUCAUAUGUCAUUAUGCUUGUGAAAAUUAGAUAAAAUUAGAUAAGACAAAAAUUAUAAAAUGAAAACUCAUUAUAAAAUCAUUUUUUUGUAAGAAAUUGCUUAACAGCAUGUGUUUCUGAUUUUUUUUUUUAAUUGGGGUUACAGUAGAGAUGAUAGAGAAAAGGUUGGAGUGAGAGAGAUGAAAGAGAAAGGAUUGAGAGAAAAGAGAGAGGUGAGUAAGGGUUCGAGGGUUUCUUCUUUUCUUUUUAGAAUGAAAAUUAAUUAAAUAUCCUUGACUUUAAAACUUAAAAUCCAUAAUAUAUGAAGGUAUUUUUAUCUACUAUAAUCCAAUACACAUUAUCAAAAUGUACCAACUGAAAAAUAGACGUACGCGCCUUAUAUAUAUAUGUAUGUAUGUAUACAUAUAUAUAUGUAUAUAUAUGUAUACAUAUAUACGUAUACAUAUAUACAUAUAUACAUACGUAUACAUGUAUACGUAUGUAUACGUAUAUAUGUAUACAUAUAUGUAUACAUAUAUAUACAUAUAUAUGUAUACAUAUAUAUACAUAUAUAUAUAUAUAUACAUAUAUGUAUACAUAUAUAUACAUAUAUAUGUAUACAUAUAUAUACAUAUAUAUAUAUGUAUACAUAUAUGUAUACAUAUAUAUACGUAUACAUAUAUACUAUAUAUGUAUAUAUGUAUACAUGUAUGUAUGUAUACAUAUAUGUAUACAUGUAUACGUAUGUAUAUAUGUAUACAUAUAUACGUAUAUAUAUACAUAUAUACGUAUAUAUAUACAUAUAUACGUAUAUAUAUACAUAUAUACAUAAUAAAAAAUAAUAAAUAUUUUUAAGUUUAUAAUUAAGUUUUGAAUAAAACUAACCUUAAAAUUUGUAGGUUUAGAAAAUCAAUAUCUUUAUAAAAAUAUAAAUAACAAGCUUUGUAAAAAUUUAAAAGGAUAAAAUAUGUGCAAUUUCUUUACUAUACUCAUCAAAUAUUUUUUAUCAUGUAAUUUUAUUCCCUCUCCAUAUGUGUAAUUUUGUGGUAGAAUAUCUGGAGUAUUGCAAACUUAAGCUUGACUUUCGCAAUGAAAUUCUCUCUCCAUAUGUUCUUGAUCUGUUAAUGUUUGAGUGAGUUAAUUAUGCAUAUCUGAAUUUUUUUUUAAGAAGGUUGGGAGUGGUUGGAAGAGAGAAGAAUGGAAGGAGGAUGAAGGAAGAGGAGAAUGGCGUGAGAGGAAGAGAGUGACACGUUGAAAGUAUUUAGAUACGUCAGCCCACCACCUCUGCAGAAAGUUAACUCCGUUAACAAAAUUUGAUGGCAGAGGCUUAAUUGAUUGAAAUUAGCAGUUAUAAGGACUCAAUUGGAGAACUUUAAAAGAAGGGGACCAAAUUGAGAAUACCUAACAAAAAUAGGGAUGCCUAAAUGGUUUAAACCAUUUUUUAACUGAAUUGUAAAUUAUCCCUCUCAUGAAGCCUUGGACAUAUAUGUUGUGUAUUUUAAUGGUUCUUUUACAUCUCACUAAUCUUUUUAAUCAAAAUAUAAAUUAUAUAUAUAAAUAGAUGACAAAAAUUAUGUUAAAAGGUAGUAAUAUUCUAAAUAAAAUAAGUUGUGAAAAAAAUAUUAGCUAAAUGUAUUUAAAAGUAUGUACUUAAAAAUACAAUUUCUAUUACACAAUUCAUUUAAAAAUAUUUAUUAUUUAUUUGAUUAUUUAAUAAAUAUCCGUAAAAAGAUAUUUAUAGUCUUUUUUAUACGUAGACAUUUAUAAAUAUCUACAAAUAUUUAUACAUUAUUUUUAAAAAAUUAAAAUAUAUUAAUUUAAAACUAAAUCUGUAAUAUAUAAAUUUUGAUGAAAAAAAUUAAUUUGACCUUUCUAAAAUAAAAUUUUAAAUAAAUUGUGUCAAAAUAUAUAUUUUAAAAAAUUAAUAUUUUACAAGAUAACUUAAAAUUUUUUAGAUCUAAAUAAAAAGUAAAAAUAUAAUGUAUAAAAAUUGAAGAUAUAACUGAAGGUAUUUUAAGAAAAAGAAUACUGUAAUUAUAAUAAUGUGUAAAAAAUGAAGAUAUAAAAGAAAAGGUAUAACCAUUCUCUCAAUCUAUCAAACAAAUUAAGAUAGUACAGUUAAUUGUAGUUAACUGAACCGAAAAUUUAGUAUGUUCAGUUUUUAAAAACUGAACCAUAAAACAAUAUAUUUAAAUUAUAGUAAAAAUGGUUCAAUUCUUUUUAAUAUAAUAUAGUACAAUUAACUGCAGUACAAUACAGUUCAAUAUUUUUUGUCUAGUCCUACUAAUAGCGGAUUACUUCAUAGCUUUAUGUGAGAGAUAUAACAUAUUGUUAUCAAACAUAACCUUAGUUACCAUUUAGUGAAACACUGCAUCUCUUAUUGACCCAAUUUGAGGAGUCUUCAACCUCCUUUCUCACUUCAUAUUUGUUCCAGAUUUUACCCUCCUUCUCAUAGUUUUAUCUUCAUUUUAGUUCUCAACCUUGCACAACACUUUAUAAGAAUAAGAACAAGUUUGUUCUAUGUAUCUCAACUUUUAGCAAUCCACAACAGUUCUAUACUAAUCACUUUCAAACUAUAGCAAAAUAUGCUUAGCUCUAUUAUGAUGAAGCAAUACCCUAAUCCAAAUAUCACACAACUUGCAAAUAACCACCUACAUGUAAAGAACAGUAACUUACUAUCUGAUCACAUGUUUCAUGUUUCAUAUAUAACACAUCUUUUACUAUCGACAAGAUUCCUCUAUUAAGUAAAUUAUUAUGUGUUGUUAGUAAAUGGAAUUGCAUUUUUCUAUCUAAACAUACUUUACUGUAGAAUCAUUCUUUUUAUAAAGAAGUUAAACUUACUACCAAAUUUAAUACUAUUAUAUUCACACACACAUAUAUCAAAGAAGGUGAAUAGUUUCUUGAAUUAUAAUUUUAUCUCAAGACUUGGUGUAUUCAGAUUUUUAUUUUAGUCUUUAAUUUUUAGUCUCAUCUCGUCUGUAACCCAAUAAUAUUUAUUAAUUACUUGAUUAAUAAACUAAAAAGUAUAUAAAAAAUGCAUUUAAUAAAUAGAAAAUGAAGUUAGAAAUUAAAAAAUCCUUUUAAAACUAAAAUACAAUCCUAUAGCCAAUCAUAUAAAAGUUUUGUUUUGAAUAAUUGAAUGUAUUAGAUUAGAAUAAUAUAAUAUUGAUGUCUCCAAUUAUAGCUUAUGCUAACGCUGUAGCAACCUUUCAAUUAUAUGAUAGCGUGGUGAGGAAGCAUAGCACCGAAUUCAGCAGGUUGAAUCUAUAAAUUGAUGGCUGAGUUAAUUGAUGCUUAAGAAGCAGAUGAGAGUAGUGGUAGUAUAAGAUAGGAAAUUUGUGUGUGAUUAUAAAAUCAGCAAAUCAUAGAUUUGAGUGCUAUAUUUAGAGAUGGUUCUCAGAACAUCACUGGCAGAAAGAGCAACAAUGGUGUAAAAUAAGGUGAUGAUAGUAACACUUAUUAUAUUACCAAUAAUAACUUUGGUCGUAGCCCUGCUAAAAAGAAAACCCCACCCACAAAUAUAACUUCUGAUAUGACUUUAGAUAAACGUAUGGAUCCUUACACAAGUAUUGGACGUACUAUCACCGGAAACGAAAGCAGCAGAAGUAAUAGUAAGGUGACAUGUAUUGUCAGGCUUAAUGCAACUUUUUAAAUUAUGUAAAUUCUUAACUUUUUUUUGUUAGACAAUUUUGACAUGACAUCUAUGUUCUGUAUAAUUUUCGUUCUUGUAAUCAUGUUUAUUGUCUUUUUGUACUAUUACAUUUAUUGCAUGUCAUUGCUAAUGUCUAUUCAUUUGAGUGUUUUUACUCUUUGCUUUUGAAUUUUAUUUGGUCAAUCUGGUUGUGACUCUGUUGUUCUCAUUGUUCAUAAACUGUGGAGGAGCUGACAGGGAAUUGUUCAUAUCCAUCUUUUCCCCAUUUAAAUAACUUUUUUAUAAAUAUUAAACUUAUCUAUCUUUUCUUCUUGAAAGAAACCAUUGUUUGAAACCCAAUUGCCAUUAAUUGAUGAAAACUAUUUUUUAGUUUAAGUUGGUUUUUAGGUUGAUUUGGACAAUUACAUCUAUGCAUACUAACCUGAAAUAUUAUUCAUCCCAAGCUAUAUAUACGGGGUUUACCUCAUUGCAAUAUAUCAUAUUUUCCUCCUUGUAAACUUUCCUUUUUUAUAAAAAGGAGAGAAAAACAUGACAAUUUUUUUGUUAUAAUUUUGGAAUUCACUUAAUUUCUCUUUAUCAUCAAGGAGUAUUGCAUCAUGUUCAUGCUAAUCUUUAUUUAUUGUUGCAUGUAGAAGAUGUUCCAAUAUCUGUUUUGCAUAUUCAGUAUCCUGAAUGAUCUAUAUAUCCAUUCAAGCUCAAUUUUGAUUAAAGUCUACAUGAUGGAUGUUAUUGUCAUGUUUUUAUAAACACAUAACUUGUAAAGGAAACAAUUGAUACCAGUGCUACAAUAGAGUGCAAGCCAAACACUGAUUAUGUUUAUUCUUUUGCAUUUUUUAAGUAGUUUAUGAUUGAUUCAUGUAAUGCAUCAACUGUAAAAGAUAAUCCGUUCUUAUUAUUUGACAAUUUGAUAUUGUUUUUUGACAAUUUGGUAGUUGUGUUUGACUCUUAUCAAUUAUAUAAAACUUCUAGUUAUUGGAUGCAGAUGUAGGAUCAUUUAAUUAUUUUUAAGAAGUCAUAAAGUUACAAACGAAUUUUUCGUAUGUAAUUUCAUACGGAUUUUUUGGUAUGUAAUUUUUGUAUGUAAUUACAUAUGGAUUUUUCUGUAUGUAAUUACAUACAGAUUUUUUUGGGAGGUAAUUACAUAUAGAUAUUUUUGUAUGUAAUUAUAUAUGAAUUUUUCAAUAUAUAAUUAAAUAUUGAUUUUUUCGUAUGUUAUUAAAUACAAAUUUUUCUGUAUAUAAUUUCUGUAUGUAAUUACAUACAAAUUUUUUCGUAUGUAAUUUUGUCUACGAUCAUUUUAUAUAUGAAUUUUUAUCCAUAUGUAAUUUGUAUGUAACACUAUUUUACAUAUGGAUUUUUGAAGUUACAUACAAAUUUUGAUCAUAAGUAACAACAACUUUUCUUGUAUUAUAUGAUGUGGUUUGGUGGUAGGACUAAGUUCAUAGAUUGGAUUGUGUGUAUUAGCUACACGUAAAAGUAAAGGUAUUGGUUCAUAAGCAAAAUAAUGAAUCAUAGUUGGAUAAAUUAUUUACGCAUAACAAAUGAGUACGAGAGUGAAGUAAACCAAUUUCUUGAAUUUGCAAAGAUGAAUGUUUUAGACAAUAAUGGAAGAUUUUAUUUCCCGUGUACAUUGAUUGUUUGAAUGAGUGAAAAUUACCAACUAAUGUUAUUUGAGAUCAUGUUCUUUAUUAUGGAUUCCUACAGAGCUACACAAAGUAGACUUCACAUGAUGAAUUAAUAAACAUCCCAUGUGUAACUUGUUACCAAAAGGAAGCAUUGGUUCUUUGAAGUAACUUUGAUGAUAAUGCAAGUGAAGACUUGAAGAACCUAUACUGUAAAGGUUAAGUAGAAAUCCUCUCUAUAGGAAUCAUUUUACUUUCUUAAGAACUUAGAAGGUUUCUUAAUUUAGUGAUUUAUUACGAUAAUAAUCGAUUAUUAUAGGGGAUAAUCGAUUAUCACAAGCAAAAGUGGAAAAGGAUUUGUCGCUACAAUAACCGAUUAUAACAGGAGAUAAUUGAUUAUGACUACAAGUAUAAUAUUGUACGGGGUUUGACAAUAAUCGAUUAUCACGUUUUUCAAAACUCAUAAUGACAUGAAAUAAUCGAUUAUCACUAGUAGUUAGAAGAUGUCUUUUAAAUUUUUGAUCUUGUAUGAAUCUUUUCACUCUCUGUGUGUGAAAAGAGAACUAAGCCAUUUGAGAAUACAGAAAAAUCUUAAAACUUUAUUUUUGAAGUAUAUAUAACAUAAAAUACUCUUUCACUUUACGUAUAUACGAUUGAUGGAUUAGCUUUAUUUGACUACCGUACAUUGUGACAUAAGAAGAACCGCAAAUAUUUUUGAAAAGUGGAAGGAAUAGAAAAACAAGUGAUCCAAAGUGUCAAACUUUACACUAUGUUCGUUUGAAGGUAAUUUCCUGUUCACGAUAAUUAGAGCGGAUGGAUUUGUGAGAGAAGUGGCGUUCCUUUGCGCUGAUUUGCAGUGAUUUGCAAAGAAAGAAAAGCAACAAUUUGCAAGAUUUUACUAUGCAAUUCAUCUCACUAUUUUGAUGUGAUUUGCGAUGAUUUAGGCAUAAAAGACUAAUAUGCCCUGUACUAUUUCAUCAAUUCCACGACAAAAUUCUCCCUUCCAUAAUAUAAAUAAAGAAAAAUAUUUUCUUCUUCAGUUAAAUAAUCGAUUCCCAACCAUGUGAUUAAGCCACCGGCGUCACCCAGUCCAUUUCCGCCACCACGCAUGCGUCGUCGUUUUCCGCCCCUAUCAGUCCUGUUCUUUCAGGUCAUCUUCAACUUCUCUCCUCUAUGUUAGAUCCUCGCAGAACAACAUUCCCGGCGAGAUAGGUCCCGAUACCAUUCUAUUCGAGGUUGAAGCCGUGUGAUUAAGUUGAAGAUAAAGAGAGUGGUUAAUGGAUGAGGAAGAACGCGGUUAGUGAUGAGAAGCAACUGCAUGGAGAUGAGGAAAGCUUGAAGCAGCGGUUGAAGAAGAGAUUUUCAUGGGCAUGUAUUCGGUUCCACAGAAUCCGUAUCUGGUUCCAACAUUUAGAAGAAGUUUCAAAGAAGGCGUAUUCGGUUACGAACUUAGGGUAUCCGGUUCCAGGCAAUGUUUAUUCGAUUUUGCGCCGCUGUCAACAUGCAUGGGCUGAUGCGGUUAACAUGUUCUUGGCCUCCAUGGAAGCAAUGAUGGCUUUGGGGUUGAGGAGAAGGCCGCAGAGGAUGGAGGAAGCAGCCACCAUUGGUCGAUGAGGUCGAUGAUGAUGAAGAACAAGCUCUUCGGCAUGGUGGAGGAUCAACUAUGAUACCAUGGUCGUUGGAGCAUUGGAACAGUGUUCGAAGGUGGAGGAGAUGAUUGAUGGCCGUGAUGUCUUUCCAUGGUUGAUGGUGUGCACUGUAAGAUGCAGAGGUCCAUCCGGCAGUAAUGCAGCAGCCCGAGAUCCAGUGAUUGGUAUGUAAGGGUGAGCUUGAGAAAUUGGGUUUCAUUGGAGGAGAAAAGAAUGAAAGGAAGAGAGGUAACUAAUGAGUGGUAUGUCUCUGUAGAUGGGAGAGAGAAGAUAUCAAGUGCGUGAUGAUAGAAGAAGAAGAAGUGGGUUUCAUUGUAAUAUUAAUGAUAAUAAUUAAUAAUAUUAAUAAUAAUAACUAAUAAUAAUAAUAAUUAAUAANAUUAAUGAUAAUAAUUAAUAAUAAUGAUAAUAGUUAAUAAUAGUAAUAAUAAUAAUUAAUAAUAAUCAUAAUAAUGAUUUUUUUCUCUGUAUAAUAAUAAUAAUAAUAAUAAUAAUAAUAAUAAUAAUAAUAAUAAUAAUAAUAAUAAUAAUAAUAAUAAUAAUAAUAGUUAUUACUAUUAUUAUUAUUAUUAUUUCAAUUUACUAAAUUAUUAUUUUUUUAUAUUUUAAAAAUUAAUUUUUAUUUUUUUUCUCCUUAUAAACAUUUUUACAAUUAAAUAUAACAUUAAUAAUUAUCAUUUUAUAUUAUUUUAAUACUUAGGGGCAUUUUGGUAAUCUUUAAUUUCUAUUAAUUAAACAAAUUUUUUAAAAUUGUCACAUCAAUCAAAUCCUACACUAAUUCUCACAAACUUCACCCUCAAAUCCACCCUCAAUUACCCACAAAUCCACUCAAAGAAACAACAAAAAAAUUAUCCUCAAAUCCACUCAAAUCUAUUCAAAUCAUCUCCCUCAAAUCAUUUCCUUCAGAUCAUCCAAAAGAACACACCCUUAGUAAGGAGAAUGGUUAAAGUUGUUAAAUAGUUAGGUGAUAUGUCAAAUCAAUUAACUACUCUAAAAAUCCUUUCAUUUGAGGAGAAGAAUGAUUAUAUUUCAACGAAUAUUUCUAUCAAAAAUUCAAGAAGAUUUAAAAGAUAAAACCUUCCCCUGUUUCGGUUACGUUUUAAGAAAGGCUUAAAUCCUUAAUUGGUCUCCGUGUUAAGAGGGAAUUUUCAGUUUAGUACCCGCUUUUAAAAGUGUAUACAUUGGUCCCCAUGUUUUGCAAUUUGUGUCAAUUUAGUCCCUUUGAACCAUCAAUUUGGCUUGAAAAUUGCAAGUGGACAAGUCAUUUUGAGUUGCAACAUGUUUAUUAACUGUUUGAACGUUUGAACAUCUUCCAAUUGCUGUUACAAACUUGUUUGAAGUGUCAUUAAUUCACUAAAUUGACACAAAUUGCAAGACAUAAGGACCUAAUGUAUACACUUUUAAAAGCGGGUACUAAACUAACUUUUAAAAGUGGGUACUAAAUUGAAAAUUUUCUCCUAACAUAGAGACCAAUUAAGGAUUUAAGCCUUUAAAAAAAGAUAAGAAAAGAACCCCUUCUGUUUCAUUCACUUUUUUUUUUUUUUUUUUUAACUCAUACUGCAUCAUGCACAAUUCGUUUCGUCACGUAUAACUUACUUUCCAAGUUCAUUGUCUAUCUUUUUUUUUUCCACUUCCAGGCCCACCCAACCAUGCAUCCAAUGAAAAGAACUUCUUUUUGUGUAUUUGUGUGUAUAGUAACCGUGGAAUGAAAAGAAGCAUGACCAUUUUUGGUUUGGCUAUGGUUUUUUUGGUGUUGGCAAAAGGAAAUUUUUGUGUAUUUGUGUGUAUAUUUAAUUAAAAUGAUAUUUGUAAUAUUAUGCGAAAAGAUUCAACAAAAGGAAGAAGAUCAUUGUAACGAGUGGAAGAAUUGCAUUGACUUUUGGCAAGUGUAGUGGUGGUUUUCAUCCUAUAUUAAUGUUGGAUUGCCAAACACGUAAAAAACCAUAUUAAUAAGUAAUAAAAAUACUAAACAUGUGCAGUGUUAAGGAAGUUGAUUUGAUUAUUUGAUGGCUAUAAAAGGAAAGGUGAAAGUGUGUGGAAUAUGCAGAGAUUGAAGAAAAGAUAGAUAUGUAUAAGAAAUUGAUGAUUUUGGGUUUUCUGAUUGCUAUUUCUUUCUCCGUGACGAUGGAGGGAGCACUCGCAGCACGACACCUCAUGCAAGGUCUCUCCGAUUUUCCCACUAUCAACGAGCUCUGCGCCUUUGGAUUUCCCGUUCAACGAUGUCCUCCUCCUCCACCAGGAGGAGGUACAAGCAGCACUGCCCCCUAAAUUAAAGGAAACUUGUGCCCUAAUCUCCAUUUCAUUUCUCCCUUUCAUCAUCUCCUUCCUUUCAUCUUUAAUAAAUGAUUAGGGCAUUCUUAUAAAUAAUAUAUAUUUUAUGUUUUACUUCUUUAAACAUAGCAUUUUAAAAUAAUAAGAUAAGAUUAAAGUAGAAGAGAAAGGAAUGUAAGAGAAGGUAUUGUAUUGAUCUCGUAGCAAACCUUUAUGUUUAUCAUAUGGAGGAGAUUUAUAUAUAAGCUAGUUUUAAACCCACGUUUACACACGGUUAGAUGUUGGUUUGUGUGUUUCUUUUAAAAUAGAAUUAGAAACCAGUAAACAAUAAUAAAAAAAUUUAAGUUUAUAAUUAAGUUUUGAAUAAAAUCAAAAUAAUUUAUAGGUUUAGAGACUUAACAUGUUUAUAAAAAAUAAUAAAAUUGUAAAACUAUAAAUGAUAAAACAUGUGCAAAAAUAGAGUAAACUCUCUAAAAGUAAAAAUGACAUGUACAAAUAUGAAGUUGACUAUCUAAAAAUAUAAAUUAAUGUAGGAAUAGAAUGAGAUAAUGUGAAUUGUUAAACUCAUCUAAUCAAUACAUUAAUAAACUCGUUCAAUAUGUGGUGUUAGACUCAUGACUCAUCUAAUAUGUUUUGUUAUACCCAUUUAAUUAAUAUAUAGACACACUUACCUAACAAGAUUAUGUCACAAAAAAAAAUUCUCAAUAAUAAAGAUAAAUAUAUAAAUUAGGUUAAUAACAUCUUACUAAAUAAAAGUAAAUACAAGAGUAAAUAUAAUGGAAGAGGUUAGGAACACCUUACAGGAGUAAAAUAAGUUUUGAUAACAAAAGACAAAUAAAUAUUAGAAUAAUUAUAAAUGAAACAUCUACAAUAUAUAUAUAUAUAUAUAUAUAUAUAUAUAUAUAUAUAUAUAUAUAUAUAUAUAUAUAUAUAUAUAUAUAUAUAUAUAUAUAUAUAUUACAAUUACCUCAACACAACUUGUUCAAGUAUAAUUACAUUUAUCAAUAGAUUGAAUAAUUUUUUUAAACUAUUUCAAAAUCUUAUCAAUAGAGAUUUUUCUUUUUUGAAAUGAUAAAAAGAAUGGAAAUUGAAAAGAAUGAGGAAGAAAGAUUGAUGAAUACAACUACAAAAACUCUUUUUGUUUCACUUCUCCUUUAUCAUAUAAAAUAUUUAUAUUAUUAUUAUAUUAUUUACAUUCACAAGCAUGUAAUAGUAAAACUAUCAUUAAUUCACUAUUAAAUAUUAUGAAAGUAUUUUUUAAUCAUUCAGGAUGUCCUUUUUUUUUUCAUAGAAUCUCAAUUUUUUCUCUUUCUUUUUCGUUUUCUCAAUUGGGUCCCAAUAUUCAAAAAAUUGCAACAAUUAGACCCCUGCCGUUAAAUUAGGCCCAACGACGUUAGUAUGUUGUUGACGUGGCACACUGGACUGACUUUUUUUCUCCACGUCAGUUCUAUUGUUAUUAAAUGUUAAUUUUUAAAUCGUAAUUCUCACUGACUAUUUUCCUAAAUUGAAAUUUAGAUCUGGAACCCUAAUUUUAAUCUUUUUCCCUAAAUCAAUUUGGGAAUUUUUCUUAUCCUUCACGACAGACCCUGGGUGGGUCAUUUUGUCACGCCACAAGGAGAGUUUUCUCUCCUUUCCCGUUCCAGGGAGGUCGCGGGUUGGAAAUAGGAGAUACCCUUUCUUCUUCUUCUUUUUCGGGGUCUGCUUGUAGGGGAACCAUUCUCCUUCCCUUUCGUUUUGUUUCUUUCAUCUUGUGCAAAGGAAGAUGGACUUGUGGCGGUGAGAAUUGAUGGCACUAUGGAGGCAUGGCUCAAGCAGUGUUCUUGCCUUCAAUUAUCGGUGGAAUCGCGGGACUUUCGUGAUGAAAGGGUUUCUUCUUUUUUUGUUCGAGGUAGUGUAGUAAGGAGAGAGCUUUCCUUUCCUCUUCUCCUUCGCUUUGUUUUGGUUGGGGUUUUUGCAUAAAACUCUCUUCUUCCCAAUUUCUUCUUGGGUCUGAUUUCCGCUUCGGGGAAAAGCAAAAAUUCUUCUUUUCUUUUCAGUCUUUGGUUGCGAUUUUCCGUAGGAAGGUGAUGGCUUUAGUGUUGUGUGGUGGUGGCGGUGAGGCGUUGAAACUGUGAUAGGCAACGCUUUCUUCUCAACGAAAAGUGCUCCAGCAUCUUCAUGGCGAAUUGGAUUUCUGUUCUUUCGCAAAUUUUGAACUCGUGAUGGGGGGCGACAACAACCGUUAUGGGUGGUGGUUGGCAGCGUCGUGGUGGUGGUUGGUAGUCGUGAUGUUUGAGAUUAGAGUCUCUGGGCGAUAAAAUUCUAUCUCUAUCCCAAUCCCAGAUGGUGAAAUGGAUUGCAUUUGGGAUGAAUCCUAGCAGAAGAAAUUUCUUCCACUGUCAAUCCCAAAUUCGAAUAAGUAAAUUCCCAAUUUCUGUUUAAAACUAUGCUUUUGUACCAAUUUAAAAAAUUCAAUUAUCCAUGUAAUUUGUGUCCCUAACUCACUCAGUCACAUGGAUAUAAGAAAUUGACUCCAGCCUCCACGUCACAAACACACUUAACGCCGUCAGCUCCAAUUUAACGGAAAGGACCUAAUUGUUGCAAUUUUUUGAAUAUUGGAACUCAAUUGAGAAAACGAAAAAGAAAGGGACGAAAUUGAGAUUCCACGCGAAAAAAGGGACUUCCUGAAUGAUUAAACCAACGUUUGACAACUCACAAUAGAUGGGAAAAUACUUGUUGAAAUUUUAGAAGAGUUGUUCCUUAACCCAAAUGCAAAAAUGAUAUUUCUUACUUCAAACCUUUAAACCUAUAUCCUAUCGGUUUGAGUGAAAAUAUUUAAAAACAGGUUGUAUAAUUUUGAAGUUGUAUAAUUUUGAAUUUUUUUCCAAUAAUUAAUUAAUGAAGUUAAAAUUUUAUUGAAAUAACUCGAAACAUGAAAUAGAUAACACUAGUUUAAACAACAAUAAUUAUUUCACCAACUGCAUAUCUCAGAACUGGAUAUGUUGAGACCUAGCUCGUACACUAAAAUUAUUUCUCUUAGCAUAAAUCUUUAAUUGAAAAUCUCACUAGUCAUCGUGGAGAACUAUAUUUCAACAGUACUAUGUAAAAAGUGCAAUCUAUUCAAUGGUUCAUGAGAUUGUAAUCACAAUUUUACUAAGACAACUUAGGAAUAGGAAGUAGUUGGGACCUGAAAAUCAUCAUCAAAUUUCUCGAAAGCCAUUUUUCAUAAUUUAUCAAUUUACUUAUAAAAAUAUAUUUAAAUAAAAAACUUAAAUAUAGUUAACAUAAAAGAGAGGGUGUUAUAGUUAAAUCUAAAACUAGUAUAGAAAGUGACUCGGUGAAAAUUUUGUAAUAAAUUACAAACACUUUCUACACUGGUUUGCAUGGUGAUAAUUUUGUAACUAAUUUCAAAGACUUUCUAUAUUGGUUGAACCUAGAAUUGAUAUCAAUGUCAUUCUCGUUUGCUCUCCCACUAUUGUUGUGCAGUGGAAUCGUUCUUUGUCUCUCGCCUCUCUGAGUUGGUAAGUUUUCAUUUCUAGUUUUCUUUAGAGUGAUUUUAUUUUCUUGUAAAGUGGAUUAACCCAAACCCAUAAGUGGAGGUUCUACAAAUAUGUUAGGACCUCAUCGUUUAUCUUCGUCGGAGAUGUCUGGAUCUGCAUAGAAGUUGUCGCUCGCAUGGAGGAGCUGCCUUCUCUAGUGAUAGACAUUGGCACAUUGAAGAUCUGCUGAGGUUGGUAUAAAAAUCCUUCUUAACCGAUGUAAAAAGGUUUUCCUACAUUAAUGGAGGUAAUACAAAUUAUGAACCUUAAUAAAAUCUUGCUAUAUAAAUCUUAAAAAGAAUUGGUUAAAAAGAUAAAUAAUGAAAUGGAAAAUAUUAACCGUGGAAUGAAAAGAAGCAUAACCAUGUUUGUUUUAGCUAUGGUUCUUGGUGUUGGCAAAAGAAACUUUUUUUGUGUAUGUGUGUUUAAACAUCUUAUAUUUGAUGAAGCUAAAACAACUACAAAGGUAAGGAAAUAAUGUUAUUGAGGGAAAAAGCCAAAGUGUAAUUUUGAAAAGAUAAAAAGAAAGUUGGAUUGCACAUGGAAGAAAUAAAUGGUUGAUAUAGUGUGGGGGAAGACUACGUACAAUAAAUGUUGACCUUUAAUAUUAAUUCAAUUUCACAUAUAUAAUUUGAUUAUAUAUCUAAUUUUAUUUUUAAAUGACAUGAAUCACUUUAAAUAUGAUUUUUAAAUUUAAUUUAAGUUUAUAAAAUAAUUUUAUAAAAUAAAAUUAUAUUUAUUUAUAUAAUUUAAUUUGAUAUAUUUUUAAUUAAUAUGAUAUUUGUAAUAUUAUGGGAAGAAUUGCAUUGACUCUCCGCAAGUGUAUCUUUAUAUUUAUGUUUACAUGUAAUUUUAUGGGAACAGAAAAUACAGUUUCAUGUAAGCCACCACCUUGCUUAAAAGUAAAAAAGUAAAAUAAAUAUAUUGGAUGACAGAGUCAAAACAUAUUAAUAAGUAAUAAAUACUAAACAUGUGCAGUGUUAAGAAACUAUUUCUUGGUUCAUUAUUUCAUUAUUUCAUACCAAAGUUUACCUCUAAACCCCCUCUUUUUUGUUAUACAUAUUAUUUCUCACUUUAUCCAUGCAAUUCUCUUUUGCAAUUUAAUAACAAUGAAAACCUUUCAACCAUUAUUUAAACUCCUAUAUAUGUUAGCUUACUUGUAUGAAAAUUAACUUAGGAAAAUUAACUAAAGUCUUGAAGUCAAUUCAAAACAAGUUAGGAUGCAUUUUAUAAUCACAAUUUAUUUCUUGCAUACUUUUAUUCCUUGCAAAAGUUAUUUUUAUCUAAACUUGUUUAACUACCACGGAAAGCCCUUCAACCAUGAUAAGAAACAAGAACAGAGUUAGCGGAUCCCCUUGCCUAUAACUUUUUUAGAAGGAUUAAAAAUCCUCUAUCGGGACUAGAAUGGGAAUAUAUGACUAUUCCAAACAUCCCCUAAUCCAUUUAAUUCACCAUAUGUUGCCCAUCAUAUAUAUGACAAACUUCUAAGGAAAAUACUUUUUUAACAACUUUUUUUUCGAUAAUUUUUUUAUAAUAUUUAUGUAUUGGUUUGUAAUUGAUUCAAUAAAUUUAAACAGAGACAAUGAAGUAAUAUGUAAUUUAUUGUUAAAAAAUUGUUACGAAAGGUCGUUGACAUAUUAGAGUCUUUAACCGAAUCAUAUGCCUUCUCAAAGUUGACCUUUACGUCCAACCAAGUGUCUUUCCUUCUAUGGUUUGUCCUAACUGGAAUGCUUAAAUAUUUAAAUAAUAUAUUCAUAAUAUUUCAAUUUAGUAGUCGUGAAAACCUUUCAAGCAUCCUUUGUUGAACUCUAUACCUAUUGGCUUACUUUUAUGAAUAUUAACUUUAAUCUCAUCUAAUUAAUAAUUGAUAAACUCGUUUAAUAUGUGAUGUUAGACUCGUGAUUCAUCUAAUUUUUUUUAUAUACCCAUUUAAUUAGUAUAUAAACACACUUGCUUAAUGAGAUUAUGUCAUACAAAAAAAAUAAUUCUCAAUAACAAAGAUAAAUAUAUAAAUUAGGUUAAUAACACCUUAUUAAAUAAAAUUAAAUUACAUUUCUCAAUAGAUUGAAUAAUUUCUCCAAACUAUUUCAAAAUCUUAUCAACAGAGAUUUUUCUUUUUUGAAAUGAUAAAGAGAAUGUAAAUUGAGAAGAAUGAGGAAGAAAGAUCAUAAAUACAACUACAAAAACUCCUUUUGUUUUACUUCUCCUUUAUCAUAUAAAAUAUUUAUAUUAUUAUUAUAUUGUUAUAUUAUUUAUAUUCUGAUGGCAUACCCCUUGCCAUGACCUAGUACAUUCAUAAAGAGUUGGAGACAUCUGUGGAAGAUGGACCUAUACUCUUUCUCUUAGGCCAUUUAAAGCCAUCAUGAAGAUUUAGUAGAGUUAGAAUAAAUUUGGGCCUUGUAUUUUGGGCCAAGUAGUCUAGAUUUUAUUUGGGCUUUGUAUUAUGGGCCAAGUAGUCUAGAUUGUAUUUGAGCUUUGUAUUGUAGGCCUAGUAGUAGAGUUGUCAACGUUUUUUUUGGCCCUGAGGCCAACCCUGCCCCCUUCUUAAUUAGCCCACUAUUUUUGACCCACAUUAGAGGGGGCUUUUUCAAAGCCCCAAGCCCCCACAGCCCCCAGAAAGUGGGUUAAGACUGAAUUAGGGCCGGGUCAGCCCUAUCCCCCAAAACAUUGAAAGCUCCAGUUUACUCUAAAACUCCCGUAGUCCCUAAGGUACUUUUCUUUUUCGACUCUCACUCAUUCUCUCUGAUCAAACACUUGCUUGAGCUAGCAACCGCAACAUAGGUCGACGGCAGACGACAACACAGAGUCGACGGCGCAUGGUGGACGGCAGCACACAGUGAACGACGGCACAAAGUAGAGUCAACGACACAAGGCAGCGGUGGAACAGGCGGCGAAGAAGAAUCAAGGUUAGCUUCUUUUAAAUACUUUUCGUGUUUUUUCUAAAGAUUGUUGUGACCCAGUUCAUCAAUGAUUCAUAAGCUACCAAAUCACUUCUCGAGACCCCUACAGAAAAUGUUAUCCAAUGUAUUCUUAGACAAAGGUCAAGGGUUUAUUUGUUUUUUGUUGAAGGAAAGUAUGUAAAAAAUUGUCUGUAUGCAUGUUAAUGAUAUACGGGACUGGUUUGUGUAAUUGAAAGGUUUUAAUUGGUACGAGUUGUGAAUAUUUUGUUGAUAAUCAGAAGGAAUCAAUGCAUUUCUGGAAGUGAUGAUUAAGCGCUAUUCACACCAUUAACCAAUUGGAGUUGGUGAUGAUUAUAGAUGUAUUGACAUGAACUGAACAAUUUAGUGAACGACCUGCAAUACACGAAUAUCCCCCUGGAUUCAAAAAUACACUAAAUACUAUAGUAUAUUGAUUAGUGCAUUUUAUAUAUGCACAAGUGACAACUUUAUUUGUAUGGUCUGUCAGAAUAUAUGGGAAUCCUUCAUCUGUGUACUAUUAACAUUUCUUAAUGUAUGACUCAUAGGUUAUGUAUGAUAAAUACUCUGGAAAGAGUCGUCGCUUUGUAUUUGUUACAAUGAAAACUGUUGAGGAAGCAAAUGCUGUGAUUGAGAAACUUAACGACACUGUAAGUUUUAUUGCAGAAUUUGAAGGAACCUUUAGAAAGAUUGUUAAUGUUCAUUCAGCAGUUUAGACUUUAUAUCCCUUCAAGGACUUGUGAAAUUCAUGUUUUCUAUGGCAGGAAAUUGGAGGGCGUGAGAUUAAAGUAAAUGUUACCGAAAAACCUUUAUCAGCAUCAGAUUUGCCCUUAUCCCAAGCUGAGGAAUCUCAAUUUAUUGACAAUCCCCACAAGGUGUAUGUGGGAAAUCUAGCUAAGACAAUAACAACUGAUACUCUUAAAAAGUUUUUUUCUGAGAAGGGAAAAGUUCUGAGUGCCAAGAUUUCACGGGUCCCUGGUACCUCAAAAUCCAGUGGGUAUGGUUUUGUUACCUUUUCAUCAGAAGAGGAUGUAGAAGCUGCAAUCUCGUCUUUCAACAAUUCUAUAAGUUGUUUACUUCAAGCUGAUAUAUCCAAAUGUACUUAAAUUACAUGAAACCUUAAAUAUAGCACCUAGAACAUGCAUUCCCUUGUCAGACCCCCAAUUUUGGGAAACAUACAUCAGAAGAAAGAACAUGGAGAUGAUUGGACCACUUGUGCCCAUAUUGGGUUCCACUUCUUAUGUAUAGUUAGUUAUGAAUCUUUGUGAGUUUUUUUCCUUAUUGGUUUCAUAUAUUUUUUUUAAAAUUUUAAGAUAUUUGUACAAAAUUUAAAUUUAUAGUACAAAAUUUAUAAUAUUUUGUGACUUCCACUUUGUUACAAAAUUUAUCAUAUGUGAGAUAACACUUGUAUAAUACUUUCAAAUUCAACAUUAUAAAAUAAAAUACACUAACAAACACAGCAAUGUAAAAUUUGCAGUGUGUGGUGUGUAAAUAUAUACAUGUUAGUAUGAUCAUCAAUAAAAAGUGGACAUGUCAACUUACAUAUUAUACAAGGGAAGGGAUGCAAUAAGAAGGAUGAUAUACUGAGAUCCCUUGUUAAGUUUGAAUUUUUAAGUGUGCUUUUAGUUCAGUAUUUCAAUUGUUAGAUUUCUAGCUUUUUUUAGUAGUAAUCUUAGACUUUUCCAACUUUGAUUAAAUUGUGUUUAGUAUAGUGUUAAUUCUUAGUAAUGAUUUUUAUUCAAUCGGUGUAGGUGCUAUUUUGAUUAUGCAAUGCUUAGAGGAGAAUUGGGCAUGAGUUGCUAUGAAAGUUUGUAAGUGUAGCUGCUGUAAACAGUAGUUAAGUGGCUGCAACGCUGGAAUUUUGCUGCCAUGGUGGAAUUAAUCAAGUGGAUGAUGUUCUGAAGUGUUCACUCCUUUCAUUAUAUCUUCUCUGCAUGGAUUCAAGAUUCAUACACUUUCAAGCCUGAUUCACAGUCAUUUGCUUGUGUGUAAUUGACUUUGCUAUUUCUCUGAAAUUAGUUCUACAUUGAAUUUACUUUUCUAUGUAAUUGCUUUCAUUAUGCACCUCUAUAUUUAGUUUAUCUAUGUUUAUUCUCAUUGUUUAUUGUUUUGGGAGAUUGACAGAUAAAUGGAAAGCAUUCAAUAGCCGUAGUUUUUUUGUGAACAUGUAGUAAUUAAAAGGCUUGGAUGUUAAUGAUUUGCUGCAGCAUACGAAUUAUGCAAGAGGCUAUCGUAGUGUAAGCUUUCACUAGUACAAAAAUCAUAUUUUAUGACGUACAAAAACUAACUAUGAUGUACAUAGUUUUGUACGUUAUAAUAGGUCUACACAUUUUAUGACAUAGCAAAAAUUUACGUCAGUUNCUAAAAUCAUUCCANUUUUUUUAUAUGAAUAUUGGAGAAAAUUGUUUCGAAUUGAUAUUGAGUAAAAUUAUCUAUGUUGACAUUCAUUAGAAUUAUUUCUUUUUUUUAUAGACUUCUUACAUUAUUUCUUCUUCGGAACCAGCACAAAUUUUAAGUUGACAUCCAUAAAAAAACGACUGAUUUUAAAAACUGUGUCAUAAUAUGUUCAAAUGACGUAAAUUUUUGCUACGUCAUAAAAUAUGUAGGCCUAUUAUAACAUACAAAACUAUGUACGUCAUAACUUGUUUUUGUACGUUAUAAAAUAUGAUUUUUGUACAUUGAUUGAUUCAAUAAGAAGAGAGUUAUUCAUUUUUCUGAUUGUUCUUGAGUAUUAUAGAGGGUUCAUCGACUUCUUCAAGAAGUCUAUCAUAUUAUGUACAUUAUAAGAUUAACUUAUGUUAUUUAUUUGUUUAUUCUGUCAAUUANNNNNNNNNNNNNNNNNNNNNNNNNNNNNNNNNNNNNNNNNNNNNNNNNNNNNNNNNNNNNNNNNUAAUCCUAUAUGUUAAUGCCAUUGGAGUUCACAUUUAGUAUUUUCAUUAUUUAGUUGUGCAUAACCUUUUGGAUUAUUGACAUUAUUCUUGUGCACAUAUGUUUAUAGUGUUAGGAUUUUUUUUCACUCUUUAUUAAGUUUGCUUGUUAUCAUAGGUCAUGACACUAAAUUUUGGAGUGAUUAAUGUGAUCAAUUUAUUUGUAAUUGAUCAUGACCAAGUUACUCUUUAUUUCUUUAAGAGCUUCUCCAACAUCUUUUGUCUUGACCCAAGGUUUCACUUUGAAGGUUAGUAUUUUAUUUAUGACCAUAAAUAGUUUUUUUCUAUUAAUUUAAUUUGAAUAAUGUGCAGUGACAACAUUCGAUGAUGAAUUGCAAUUUAUACUAUUUUUAACGAAAAAACCAAAGAUUGAUCUCAUCGUAAUGGAGACUAGUUUGGGACUUUAUGAUGGCUUCGAGUUAUUAAAGCAUGUUAAAGAUAAUAAGAUUGAUGCUCCGGUUGUAAGUAAGUAUCUGGUUCUUUAUCAACUUUUUAAUCUUUUUUAGUAUAACUGUUUAAAUUUUUUAACCCUUUACCAUAUCCUAUGCAGUGAUGUCCCACAACUAUGAUUACUCAAAUCACAUGAAGGCUUAUAGCAUGGGUGCAUGUCACUACUGGCAUAAACCUAUUGAUGGGCGUGAAUUAAAAUCCAUGAUCACUUUCACAGCUUUUCCUCCAACAACAAUGAAAAAUGCCAAACCCGUAAGAAAAAGAUUAACCUGGACAACAGAAAUGAAGAAUAGGAAAAUGCCAAACCCGUAAGAAAAAAAUUAACCUGGACAACAGAAAUGAAGAAUGCAUUCCUGGAAGCCAUCAACAUAAUAGGAGGAUUAGCAAGUAUGUAUCGGUCCAUUUUCCGAGUGAUGUGGCCGUCUUAUUUUUUUAAUGGUUGUUUUUGUGUUUUUAGAUGCUAAACCAAAGAGGAUACACGAAGUUAUGAACAUGCCUAAUAUAGAGAUUGGGCAAGUAAAAAAUCACUUACAGGUUAGGAUUGAGUAUAUUUAAUUUUAUUUAAUGGUUGAGUUAUUAUUAACCAAACUGAAAAUUUAAUUAUGUACGUCAUAAUUAAAAUAUGUACGUCAUAUUUUAACCAAACUAUGACGUACAAACUAUGACGUACAAAACUAUGUACGUCAUAGUUUGUUUUUGUACGUCAUAAAAUAUGAUUUUUGUACUAGUGUUUCUAGUAUUUAUGUGAGGAUUUAGUCAGUAAUGCAAAAGUAAGAAACAUUUAAGUAUUUUUUUUCUCUGUAAAAAUGGAAUUUAUUGUUGGAUAUUUAGUUUUUUUUUUGUAAAAAAGAAAGCCCAUGGGCUGGCCCUAACCCACAGGGCUUUGGGGUUUUUUAGCCCCUGAGGCUUUUUUAAUAAAGGGCUUUUCUGGCCCUGUGGGCUUUUUUGGCCCCAACCCACAUGGGCUAGGGCCAGGGCCUAUUAGAGGGGCCUAAUUGACAGCUCUACCUAGUAGUAUAGGAUUUCAAUUGGGCCUUGUAUUUUGGGCCAAGUAGAAUAGGAUUUUGACCAAACAAGUCAACAAUGGGUCAAGGCUCAAAGUUGACUAUGCUUGGAUGUCCAAAAUGGGUGUGUUGACCAAGGGGUCAAAAUUUUGGCUAAGCUUGGAGGACAAGGGAGCAAGAUUUCGUCCUAGAGAUGUGAAGGCUUCUCACUGGAGAGUUUUCCUCCUAGUUAGUGACCAUCUGUCACUUUAGGAAUGAAGAGUUUUUCCAUAGGUAAUGGCCACAUGUCACUCUCUCAUUUGAGAGGAUUUUUGCCACUUGUCUCUCUCUUAUUGGAGAGGAUUUCUCCUUGCUCUCCAAGACAACCAAGGUGGCUCUUUUAGGUUAAAGUUUCAACCCAUUUUGAGACACCUUAGCCUAUAAAUAGAGGUGUUCUCCAUCAUGUAAUCACCUUGAAAAUUAUAGUAAAGUUAUGCUGCCAUUUUGUGCACACAACCUCUUCUAAGGUCACCUUAGGCUAGAGCAACCCAAGUGGCCUCCUCUAGCCACCUUCCUCCAAGAAUUGGCCCAACCUCUUUUAGAGAACCACCAAACACACCUUCCAUCACCAUUCAAACUCAUCAAAACCAUGAGCUAUCAACACCUUUCACCACCACCAAACUCUGCAAUCUUCAUUCAUUAUCUUGUGGCUUGAUUUGCUUCUAGAUUUGACUUGUCCUAGCUAGAACAUUGCCAUCAUAUUCACAAGAUGUAAUAGUAAAAUUAUCAUUCACUAUUAAAUAUUAUGAAAGUAUUUAACAUUUGACAACUCAUGAUAGAUGGAAAAAUACUUGCUGACAUUUUAGAAGAGUUGUUCCUUAACCCAAAUGCAAAAAUGAUAUUUCUUACUUCAAACCUCUAAACCUAUAUCCUACCAAUCAUAUAAUUACAUACGGAUUUUUCCGUAUGUAAUUACAUAUAGAUUUUUUCAUAUUUCUUUACACACAGAUUUAUCUGUAUGUACUUAUAUACAUAUUUUUUUUUAUGUAAUUACAUUCGAAUUUUUUCAUAUGUAAUUUAGAUAUGGAUUUUGUGUAUAUAAUUAUAUACGAAUUUUUCAUAUGUAAUGUUAUCUACUGUCAUUUUAUAUAUGGAUUUUUAUUCUAUAUAAUCCGUAUGUAAGACUAUUUUGCAUAAGGAUUUUUGCAGUUCCAUACGAAUUUUGGUCGUAAGUAACAACGAUUUUUCUUGUAGUGUCUGAUGUGGUUCGGUGGUAAGGCUGAGUUCACAGAUUAGAAUGCGUGUGUAAAUGUUUCUUAGCUAUACCUAAAAGUAAAGGUGUUGGUUUAUAACCAAAAUAAUGGAUCACAGUUGGAUAAAUUAUUUAGCAUAAGAAAUGAAUAUGAGAGUGGAGUAAAUCAAUUUCUUGAAUUUGCAAAGAUGAAUGUUCCAAAUAAGAAAUAAUAAUGGAAGAUUCUAUUAUCCAUGUGUUUAUUGUUUGAAUUUGCGAAAACUACCAACUAAUAUUAUUUGAGAUCAUGUUCUUUGUUAUGGAUUUCUACAGAGCUACACAAAGUACACUUCACAUGACGAAUUAAUAGAUAUCCCAUAUGUAACUAAGUCUCAAGUAGAAAAAGAAAAUUUUUAUUUAGAGAUGGUGAUCGGUUAGAGUACAUAAUACAUGAUGUUGGACAUGAUUCCUUGCAACGUGCUCAUGUAUAUGACAACCUGUGCAGUGAUACAAAAAAAACUUUGUAUCCAAAAUGCACUAGUAUACUUGAUUGUCAACGAUAUUAAAAUUGUUCAUUAUAAAGGUAAGAAAUGAGUGAAUUCAUAAAAGCUUCACAAAAUUGCUUAGGUUGUUGAUAAAAGCUUUCUAAUGGUAACAGAUUGCCAGCACACAAUUAUGAAGUGAAGAAGAUAUUGUGUCCCAUGAGUCUAGAGUAUAAAAAAUUUCAUGCAUGCCUAAAUGAUUGAGUCUUAUACAAGAGUAAGUUUACCAAGCUAGAUCAAUGUCCACAGUGUGGGGUAUUAUGAUAUAAAUAGGAAAAGGGUGAGAUUGAAUGUGAUAGUAAGGAUCUUUCCAAAAGUCUUGUGGUAUCUUUCUCUUGUUCCACGAUAGAAACACUUACUCAAUAACCCAAAUGAUGCAAAAUUCAUGAGAUGACAUGCAGAUGGACAUAUAAAAUAUGAGAAUUUGAAGUAUCCUACAGAUGAUUUGCAAUGGAAGAAUAUUGAUUACAUAUUCCUUAAUUUCUCCAAUGAUUCAAAGAACACUAGGUUUAGACUUGAUAGAGAUGAAUGCAUAUGGCAACUUGAGCAAUAAACAUAGCUCGUGUGUGGCCUGUGCUUUAGUGAUCUACAAUUUACCUUUGUGGUUGUACAUGAAACACAAAUAUGUGAUGUUAUUUUUUAAAGUUGUUUUGUAGCUUUAAUCUUUACUUUCACACCUCACUUAAAAAAAAAAACCAUGUUGUUAGUUUUGUUUAUCAUAUACUCAUGAAUAUAAAAAAUACUAGUACUCCUUUAUAAUGUGUACUAAGUAAUUUUUCUCAAGUAAGCUAUGCCUUAUGUAGAAAUAUUACUUAAUAUCUAUGAUGUUUAUUCAAUUAUGUUAUUUUCUAUUGGGUGAUUUAUGAUUACGUUUUCAAUUAUAUUAUUUUCUAUUGGGAUGCUUCAUUUUGAGAUGAAGUUGUGAAGUUAUUUUUUUGCGGGUCAAUGUUUGGAAAAAUAUGUUUAUUUUCUCCUAUAUGAAAGUAUAUAAAUUUACGAGGAUGUUUAACAUCGUAAACUAUGACUUUUUUAGUAAACAAAUAAUUAAUUAAAAAUGAUGUCAAGUAAAGAAAUUCAUUGAAUAUAGGAAACAUAUGACCUUUUUAAUCAUCAAACAGAGUAAAAUAUUAUGUAAUAAUAAAAAUUAAUUCAAAAUACUAUAUGUAUGAACAAGUUAAGUAUUGUAUUUUACUGUUUAAACAACAAUAAUAUUUGAAUAAUGUUUUUACAUGUUCUAACUUAAAUAUGAUUUUAAAACACGGUUUAACGUACAAAAAUUAGCUUUGUUGAAUUAAAAAGCCUAAUUUAUUUAUUUUUUAAACUUAAAAAUUAAAAUAUAUUAAAAUUUAGAAUAAUAACAUAAUUUUAAUUUUAUAUUUAAUUAUAAAAACUAAAAACAUAACUCGUAAAAAAACUAUUUGACAUAUUGGGAUGUUUGAAGUUAAAAAGUUAUAUAAAUUUAUUCUUACACGAAAUUGAGAAACAUUUUUUAUUUUUAACUAUUUUAUUGAAAAGAUUACCUCUAUCCAUUCCUAAAUCAUCAUAAUAGAAUUAAUUCUUUUCUAUCUUUUAAGUUCCAAUAACAUUUUAGAUUGAUCUCGCAUAUUGGAAAUUUUACCACUCAAACCUUAUUCUUUAUGAAUACGAGAAUUUAGUAAAAUUAUAAGAUGAUUGCACUCUCUAAACUUCUAUUUAAUGUAAUGUGAUAUAUUUUAUACGACAUUUCUCAAUAGAAAUGACUUUAUUAAUAAAACUUCCACAAUCAUUAUAUAUUGUUUCAAAUGCUCCAAUAUAUUCUUGAUAUUCAAGCCUAUAUAUUCUAUUCAACCUAACAUACAUUUAUACUAACAUGUUCUCGUAUUAUUCAUUCUCCCUGAGUCAUGAAAAACAUUCAUAUCAUAUCCAUCAAGUUGAAAUCAGAUAAAAAUCGUUCAACAUAAAAUAGAAGGACAAUGAUAUUUUAACAACUCUUUUUUAACAACUUUUUGACAACGGGACACGUGUUAUCAUUUUAUUAAUCUGUUUGAAUUUAUUCUAAAAAAGUAUUUAAAACGGACCAAUCACAAACUGUCACGUAUACGUUAUCAAAAAAUUGUCAAAAAAGAAUUGUUAAAGAUACUUUUUUUCAAAAUAGAAUAAGCAUAUAAGACUAUAAUUCCGAAGACACAUAGAAUGUUAGUGUAAAGUCUUGCACCAAUCAUAACUUUUUUAAUACAAUAAAUUCAACAACAUCACUAAUAGUUCUCUUAUACCAAAACCACCGUUCUUAUCACAAAACCAUCGUGACAUGUAUUUCUCAAUCCUACAACACACUUUAAUUUCAAAGCAAUUACCUUUUUUACCUAACACAUUCAGAACUUCUAAACUAUGCUGUUUUGAUUCUUCAAACUAAAACUAUUUUUUUUUUUGUUAAAAUUAUCAUCACAAAUAUAAUAUGCGGCGUUGUUGCAUCUUUUUGCUGUGAAAGACGACUAUAGGUGAUAGGCUUACAAGCUCCACAUCAAUUUUGAAUGUGCGGUAUUUUUCCAAUCAAUAUAGUAAUUCUCUUCUUAAUUUAUUUAAUGGACGAACAAGGUUUAAUUUUAUGUUCAAGUACUUUACAUGUAAAACUGAGAUGAAAUGAUAUUAUUAACACUUCACUGAAAAAUUUAAUUCCAAUAAUAAAGAUAAAUAUAUAAAAAUGAGAUUAAGAACACCUCACUUAAAUAAAAUAAAUAUAAAAAUAAAUGUAAAUGAAAGAGAGAUUUUAGACACCUCACUCAAUAAAAUAAAAUAAAUAUCAACAAUAAAGACCAAUAAACUAAAACAAUGAGGUUAAUAACAGCUCAUCAAAUAAAAUAAAUAUUAAAAUAAAAUAAAUGCAAAUGAGAUUAUAAACAUAGGAUGUAAUACAAAUUAUUAACCUCAAUAAAAUCUUACUACAUAAAUCUUAAAAACAAUUCGUUUAAAAAAGAUAAAUAAUGAAAGGAAAAAUAGUAACCGUGGAAUGAAAAGAAGCAUGGCCAUUUUUCUUUCGGCUAUGGUUCUUUUGGUGUUAGCAAAAGAAACUUUUUGUAGAGCCGUCAAAAUGGGUCACAACCCGCGAGUCAACCCGGCCCGUCACGGGUUCGGGCUGGGUUGGGUUUGAAAAAUACAACNCACUUAUAUGCGGGUCAGAUUUCAACCCGGCUCAUUUAGACCCGGCUCAUGCGGGUUGAACCCGUGGUGAGCUGGGUUGGCCCACCAACCCACCUACCUAAUUUUAUUUUUUUAAUUUAUUAUUUUAUUUAUGAAACCCUAAAAUAUAAAAUAUUUUCUUCACUCACUGUGUAUACCAAAAAGGUAACAUCGGCUCUCACAAAUCACUUUCACGGUACUUGCUCUCAUUUGACGGUGCUCUCACCCUCACUUCACUGAAAUUAAUGAAGGAACAGUUAAAACACCCUUUCUUUUUUCUUCUCUUUUCUCCACAUUUUUGUUUUCUCACUUCUCUUUCUUUUUUUUUUCAAAAACCCUAUAAUGACAAAAAUAGGGGUUUGCGAAUUUGUUUUUUGUUCUGGAGAUUUGAAGACAUGGAAUGAUUUUUCAUGUUCUAAUAUGCUUGUAUCAGAUUUUGUUCAUUUUAUUUAAACAAUUUGAGUAUACAUUAUUUGAACGAGCUCUUUUUGAUAUCUUUGAAUUUGAGAAAUUAUACUACAUAUUAAACUGUUAUUUUUUUGUUGAUGUUGAUGUUGUUGAGUACUGAUUCUCUCUUUUUUUAAUAUUUUUUUAUUGAUUAUCGGAAUUGGUCUGAUAUUAAGAAAAUCUUUAUUAGUGAAUUUGGAGACAACAAGAACAAGAGACAUGGGUUACAACAAAAACAAAAAAUGAUGAAUAUAAGAAACUUAUUUGUAUGUAUUUUUUGUUUGCUUUUGAAUGACAUUUGGAUAUAUUGUACUUAUUAUUAUUAUUUUGAAUUGUCUUUAACAUAAUUUUUUUGGAAUGAAAAUUGUUUAAAUUUAAAUUACAGAAAGUUUGUAUUUUUUUUAUUUUAAAAAAAUAUAAUUAAAUGGGCUAGUGAGCCAACCCGUUUACCCACCAACCCGUGGUGGGUCGGGCCGGAUUCAAGUUUUUCUGGCUCGCUAAUAAAUGAGCCGGGUUGGGUUGGUUCAUUAAGUGACAAACCCGUGGUGGAUCGGGCCGGGUCGAGACAGGUUACCCGUUUUGACAGCUCUAACUUUUUGGGUAUAUGGGUGUAUAAACGUCUUAUACUUGAUGAAGCUAAAAUAACUACAAAGAAAAAAAUAUUAUUGAGGGAAAAGCCAAAGGUUAAUUUUGAAAUGAUGAAAAUAAAAUUGGAUUGCAAAUGAAAAUAAAAUUAAUAAAUAAUAUAUAUUUUAUAUAUAUCUUAUAUGUUCUCUCUUUUCUCUUCACCUUCUGCUUUUUUUACUUUUCUGUAAUUCCAGUAGUUCCUCUCUGCAUUCUCUCUUUAUCUGCUAACUUUAACAUUCUUCAACUUAAUUAUAACGUGAAUGCUUUUUGUUUCAUCCAUCUAUUCCACAGUGGCAAAAAUAAGAUCGAUCGUCCAAUAUAUAUUAAAACUUUAUGCUAUAUAAAAACGGAUUAUUAAUUUUUUACAUUUAUCACGUUAAACUAACAAUAAUUAAAUAUAAAAUACAUAAAGAAUGAUUAAAAAGUAUCAAGAGUUUAAAGCUAGCAUAUAUAUUUACUAAAAUAUAUUAAGAUUAAAAUAAUAAGACUUAUAUUUUUAAAAUUUUUAUAUUUUUAAAUAAUUUAAUUCAUUUUACACACAUUAUUGUUUUGGCUGUUACAUAAUUUAAUAAAUAUUUUAUUUAUAUUAAAUCAACGCUUACGUUAUAAGAAAAAAACAACUGAUACUUAAAUAGUAGAUAAAUUUGUAGACUUGUAAAAUGUAUUUAUUGGUAAGUGAACAUGGUAAAAACUUUAUUAACUAUACAAAGGAAAAAUUUUAAGUAUUACAAUAAAAAGUGUUACUUGAGAAUCAAAUAUACUCUCCAAAGAUACCUUCACUUCAUGAAACCUUUCUCUCAUUCACUCAUUAUUCGUUCUCCAAAGCUCUUGCUACAGUCACCAGAUAGGAGGAAUUCUUGAAAAAAAAAAAUUAACUCUCAAGUUAGCACGUAGUUAGAGCUUUAUCAAAUCUUAAUUAAUACAAAAGUAAAUCAUAAAUUAUACCAUUAAUACUUAUUUAUAAUAUUUACCUUAUUGACUAUCGACCAUUAGAAUGGGUCAUAUCUAGAGGAUCAAGUUCAUUGGCCAAUUUACCUCUCUAAAGGUGGCUUGCUUUGCCUAAAUCCUUUCAAGAUGCCCCUUUAGUGGUCUAUAAAAGAUAUUGGUACUGAGUGAUGGAGACACACCUUAUUUCAAAAUCUUCAAGGCUCCUAAUUUAACUAUAGAUUAUCAUAUACUAAGGGUUGGACAAAAAUAAUUGGUCUGUACUGUACUGCAGUUAACUGUACUGUAUUGUAUUAAAAAUAACUGAUCCAUUUCUAGUAACAGUUCAUUAUACUAUCUUAUGGUUCAGUUUUUAAAAACUGAACUUAUAACAGUUACAGUUCAGUUAACUGUGAGAACUGUAUCUACUCUUACAUCUUCUCUAAUUUCAGUUCAAUUGAUUCAUCUUGUGAAAAAAACUUUAUUUAAUAAUAAAAUAUUAAUAAAAAUAACUGUUCGCAUAAAAAAAUANNNNNNNNNNNNNNNNNNNNNNNNNNNNNNNNNNNNNNNNNNNNNNNNNNNNNNNNNNNNNNNNNNNNNNNNNNNNNNNNNNNNNNNNNNNNNNNNNNNNNNNNNNNNNNNNNNNNNNNNNNNNNNNNNNNNNNNNNNNNNNNNNNNNNNNNNNNNNNNNNNNNNNNNNNNNNNNNNNNNNNNNNNNNNNNNNNNNNNNNNNNNNNNNNNNNNNNNNNNNNNNNNNNNNNNNNNNNNNNNNNNNNNNNNNNNNNNNNNNNNNNNNNNNNNNNNNNNNNNNNNNNNNNNNNAAUUCAAUUUAAAAUUAGUAUAGUUACUAGUUCAAUUCAGUUUAUAUUGUAGUUUAGUUAAAAUAAGUGUAGUUUACAAUUUAGUUAAUAGUUCAGUUAGUGUAAUUUACAAUUCAGUUAAUAGUUUAGUUCAGUUAGUGCAGUUUACAGUUCAGUUAAUGGUUCAGUUACUGUAGUUUACAAUUCAGCCGUUCAUACUGUAAUUUAGUACAAUUUAGUUUAGUUUAGUUCAGUUCGAUAAAACAAAAAACAGUUCAGUUUGUCUGAACUGUUUUACCGUUCAAUUCAGUUUGUCUGAAUUGUUUUCUAGUUCAUUUCAGUUUUUAGCAGUGCAGUACCGUUCAGUUCGAUUUGUCCACCCCUACAUAUACUAAAUAUUAUAUAAUUGGUCAUAGAUAACGCAUAAUAAAUAACACUCUUUUUAAACAAGCGGGCUAUCUAUAAAUAUGCAAAACAAUAAAUAGCACUUAUAAAAAAAUAUUAUUUAUACCUAUAAUAAUAGAUAACAACUUUUUUGAAAUAGCGUUAUUUAUAUAUAAUUAAUAUUAUUUUUUUAAUUCAUAAUUUAAAAUAGAACAAUAGAUAAGACUUCUUUUAAAAAAAAUUAUCUAUUUAAGGUUUAAAAAAUAUUUUUAAAAAGGUUUUUAGUUCUCUCUUCGUGCUCUUUUAAGUUUCUCCUUUGAGAUACUUUUUACACUUAGAUUUUCCUAAAUUUUCCCCCUUUUUCCUAUAUUUUUAGUUUCACUUCAUUCCUAUUCAUCAAACCUCCCAAAUUUCACUAUUUGUCCCCAAAUUUUAAUUCGUAGUCGUGUCUUUAGCCUGUUUUGGUGGUGCAAUUCAUUCAAAUUUUUGGCUUUUAAGGUUUUCUAGGGUUUAAGAAUGGAUUUGGCGGGUGAAGAAAGGUUAAAUGGAAAGCACAUCCAUAUUCAACAUGGUAUGGUUCUUCAAUCUUGACUUACAAAUACUUUUGCCAUCUGUGUUGAAGAAAAGUUUGUGUACGUUCUUUUGAGCCAAUAUUUGGAAUUUUUCUUUAUUUUUUUAUGAGUAUUUUAGUUCUUUGCAUUGUUUUCGAACCAACAUUUAUUUUACUGUUGGUUUCAAGCUUAUCUUUAGGUUUUUGAAUUUUACAUUCUUUAUUUCAUUCUUCUUUAAUUUCUUUUGUCUUAAUGUUGUUGAAUGAAAUUUUGUGGUUGCUUGGUGCUUGGGUACCUACUACCUCUCAUAACUAAGGGUGUUUCUGAUUUGUAGCUUUUUUUUUUCUUCUAUUCGCAGCUAUUGAAUGGAUGAAAGGAAAAUAAAUGGGAAAAGCAAAUGGAGGAAGUUUUGUCAAUAAAAACACGUAUGUAGCUUUCAAAAACUUUUGUUAUAUUAUACUUGAUUAUUAUUUAUUAUGGAUAAUUGAUUUGAUAUAUUAAUCAUAUUCUUUUGAAUUUGAGGUUGAGUACUUAUUAUUGGGUGCUAAGUUUACCUCUCUAAGAAAAAUUGCAUUUUAGCAGUCUACAUUGUCUACAUUGUCUUUUUUAUAUAUCAAACUUGUCUACAUUGUCUUCCAUUUUGGAGAAUAGUCCAUGAUUCGUGUUUUAGUGUUUAAGUUAAUGUUUAGCUUUUAAGUUGUAGGUUUGUGCUUUAGUAGUGGCAAAUUGUAAAACACAUUAAGAAAAAGUAAACAAAGAAAAAAAUUAGAGAGAAGAAAAAGGCAAGAGGACUAAAAAAAGGUUAACCCACCUCGUUUCUCACCUACUUCAUAUUAUUUGUCUCUCUAUGUUUCUGAGUGUGAACCAGUAUCUUAAAUGUGUUUGUUGGUGAUAUAUGGUUGUAUCUUAGUGUCACGGGGCAAUCAAGCCUAGGGUUCUUAUUCCUCUUUUCUGUACGUGCUUUGUGAUGGAGGAACAAUUUCAGGUAUGAGGAGGAGCUAAACCCUUUUUAGAUCGAAUUUACUGUAUUAAGUGAUGCUAUAUGAUAGAUAUAUUUCUCGUUGAAAUUUUUGAAUGCUAAAAUGUGAUUACAUUGUUUUUUAUAUGUUGGUGUAAUGAAAAAUUGGAUUCAAUAUUGUGAACUAGGACACGGUUAGACAUUUUAGCAUGAUGGGUGAAUCAAAUUGUGUUAUUAACUCAUCUGUUUGGGUUGGUUUCAUAAAACCCUAUUUGUUAUAAGAAUUUCGAGCUAUAUUGCUUGCAUGAAGAUUGGAAUUGUUUUUCAAUCCUCUAUCCUUUGCAUGAAGGCCAGCUUAUUUCUCUAGACUAGGCUAUCUGUUUUUCCUUAUUUAUCUGUUUUUCUACUUCCAUUUCAUAGCCCCUUUGUUAAAAUUUUCAAUAGUAUCAAUAAAGGAUAAUGUUCUGGAUUAAAAAAUGUGAGAGUAACGAGCUAAUCAUUUUUAGAUUCCUAAAAGUUGGAUGGGUAAAGAGAGAUGAUUGAUUUGUAAGUUUCCUCUGCACUUAUUUAGUACUGGAAUCUGAUGCAUGUUAAAUUACGGUUGUAAUGUGUUUUGGAGAAAAAGAGGUUCUGUGUUUGAGGCUUUUACUGUGGCCAGUUUUUGGGUUUUUCUAAAGAAAAUUAUUUGUAUUUUUAAAGGGUUUUACAAACUGUGCAAUUACUUUCUUUUAGUGAACAUGACAAUUUGUAUGUAUAGAAGCUAAAUUUUCAUCUCUUAGGAAAAUGACUUUUUCAUUUCAUAGAAUGAAUAUAUGUUUUAGUUUCUCACGACAAGAAGUCAUUGAUAAUUGUAAAACUCUUUCGAUAAAAAUAAGGAAAAUGAUAUUUCAACACCACAUUUUGACACUGACACUAGCUACGUGUCAAAAUGUGGUUGGAUGUUUUGAAAUUAAAAAAAAAAAUUGAUGGAACCCAAAUUGAAGGACAAAUUUGGAAUGAAAAAACCCAAAUUAAAGUUUGGCGGUUUCUUUUCAUUUUUUGGUAACUCUUUCGUUCAUCUCUCUUUCGUUCUCCCUUUGGUGCUCUCUCCUUCGUUCUCUCCAUUGAAGCCAUUGCAUUUGCUCGUUCUCCCUUUGGUGACUCUUAUCGUCCUCCUCGUUCGUCUUCUUUAUUUCUUUCUUUUUUUCAUUUUCUCUUCUCAUUCAUUUCUUUCAUUUCCCCUUUCUAUUGUUCAUUUUCCAUUUCUUUUUCAGAUUGGGUCGUAGAACCAUGGGCAGAGGAAGCUGCAGUGGUGGUUGUGUGGACCAAUAGAUGGCGGAGCUCCCACUCAAAGGUAGAGAGGAAUCAUUCACGUUUGUAUAUGAGGUACCAUUGUUUUUGUUUGAUAUUUUCUUUUGCUUUGCUCAUUCGGUGUUCAAAAUUUGAAGCCCUAAGUCGCGUCUCUGAAAGGGUUGUUCUGUGUUCUUAUGUUUGUGUUUUAUUUUGAAGAGAAAUAUAGAGGGUUUUGGAAAGAAGAAUAGAGAGAAUGAAAACCGAGAAAUAAGUUUAACUUUUGUAAUGUUUUACUUAACUUGUGCGCAGCUUGGUGUUUGGCUCGUGAUUGUUACAAAUAAUUGGUGAUUAUCACAUCAAGUAAGCAACCAUAAUCUGGACUAUGGUACUGCUGGAAUGGCACCAAGUUCAUACGCUGGGUCACUUUAUAUAUUUUUUUUUCUCUUUUUAUUGAUGUGAGACUAGGAUGCUUAUAUUCAAUUGUCUGGUUUUUGAACUCCUGUUGUGCCUAUAGUAUGCGUUUGAUUGAAAUUUAAUAACAUGUUUAGUUAUAAUUGUUGAAUUACUGGAUUGAAAAUUGAUUGUAUGUACUGGGAAGGCAAUCAAUCAGCUAGGUUUGUAAUUUCUCAUAGUCUUAUGAAUGAAAUUCAGUACAAUAUUGUUUAGCUUGCAAAGUUUGGUCAAAUUUAAAUGAUGGUUGCUAUUAAGAUUCAAUAAAGUCACUUUUUUAUUGAAAUGACAUUUUGGCUUUCUGAUUAUGUGAUUCUUAGUUUUUGGAAUGGGUAGAGCAUGUUAAGAACGUUGAUUUUAGCUUCCAUGUAAAUCUUUAUUUAUACACAUUCUAUCAUUUUUUCAUUUUUUUUAAGAUAAUGCUGGAAGACGUCUAUAUUAUUGAUAAUUGAAAGAAUUUCACAUCCUAUUUUAGUUAGGCAAAUAAUUUUAAUAUUAUGAAGUGUUUCUAAUAAUAUAAAAGAUAAGAAUGAUGGAGUGACCUAUGCAGACAUGGAAAGCCUAUAACUCGUACCAUCAAGCAUAUUUUCAAGAACCACCAAAGAAAAAUGAUAAUAAUAUAAAGGGUAAAUUUAUUAAUAGUUGAUAAUCCUAUCUUACCAAAUUUUGGAAAUCUCAAUUCCUUCUAGGAAAAGGCCACCACUGCAACAAAUAAAAGGCUUAAAAAAGCUAGUGAUUGAAAGUGCAUAAUGGGGAACUUUCAUUGUCGAAUCACCUAUUGGGGUUGCAUAGAUUAAUUCACUUAUUGUGGUUCUGUUUUAAUGGUAUUAUGAGUCUAGAGAUGUCUUUUUUUCGAUUGUAAUCUGCUGCAUAGUUUUGUGUUUUUUUUUAAAUCACCAUUGAAUCUAUUUCUUUAUUUCUUAUAAAGAUAUGGAAUAUUUCACUCGUCCUUUUCUGUGAGUUUGGAUUAAAUUACCUUUUUUGUAAGUUGUUUUAUUAAUUGUAAUGAAAUAUUUGGAUAUUUUAUUAUCGUUUGUUGUAAUAACUGAUAAAUGGCUGUAUUAUUUAAGAUAUGAUUGUGGAGUUAUCAUGUUAAAAGCCAUGGAAAUGUGGUAUGGAGAGGAUAGAUACAAUGGGAAAAGCAUGCUGGAGUACACAAAUGUAAGUAUGAAUUUCAUUGUUAGCAUUGUUUGAUGAUUUUUUUAAUUAUAUCUAAAGUUUACAACUAAUUUUUUUCAGGAGGAGUUGAGUUAAAUUAGGAAGAACUAUAUGAAAUAUUGGAUCAUAGACAACGACAACAUUCGAUUAUUUGAUGCGUUAGAUGAAUAUGGGUUGUUGUAGGAUUUUGAUGGAUAUGUACAAAUGAUUAAUGUAUUCAUUUCAUAUGUAUUUACAUGAACAAUCAUAUAUGUAUUCAUCUUCAAUUGUUCAUCUUCAAUUGUAAAAAGUAAUGAUUGUUACAAACAAUGAUAUAUGUACAGAAAGUUGAAUUUGAAUCCCAUAUGAUUUAUAUCCAACCACUGUUAUGUACAAUGUGUAUCUAUUUAUUUAAAAUGUAUACGAAUGUGAAUUCUUGUCUGUAUAUUGAUCAUAUUGAGCAACUUAAGUUAAUAGGUGUGAGUUGUUGUACAGAAAGUUGUUCACAAGGAGCCAGUUUUUACAACCUAACUAUGAUUUUUGUGAUUUUUUCACAUGAGACCAGUGCAUGUUAUUGGGAAUUGUUGGUAAACUGUGUUUGGAGUGUUGGAGGUCAUGGUUGGGCACCCAAGGUUCAUGGAAUUUGUUCAUGUUAGUCACUUAAGCAACUUAAGUGAAAAAAAGGCCAUUGUAAACGUUUACAAGGCAGUGUAAACGUUUACACGAGAGUUUUUGUGAAAAUGUACAGAAAGUUCUUCACAGGGAGCCAAUUUUUAUAACACAGGGGACCAAGUAUGUUNNNNNNNNNNNNNNNNNNNNNNNNNNNNNNNNNNNNNNNNNNNNNNNNNNNNNNNNNNNNNNNNNNNNNNNNNNNNNNNNNNNNNNNNNNNNNNNNNNNNNNNNNNNNNNNNNNNNNNNNNNNNNNNNNNNNNNNNNNNNNNNNNNNNNNNNNNNNNNNNNNNNNNNNNNNNNNNNNNNNNNNNNNNNNNNNNNNNNNNNNNNNNNNNNNNNNNNNNNNNNNNNNNNNNNNNNNNNNNNNNNNNNNNNNNNNNNNNNNNNNNNNNNNNNNNNNNNNNNNNNNNNNNNNNNNNNNNNNNNNNNNNNNNNNNNNNNNNNNNNNNNNNNNNNNNNNNNNNNNNNNNNNNNNNNNNNNNNNNNNNNNNNNNNNNNNNNNNNNNNNNNNNNNNNNNNNNNNNNNNNNNNNNNNNNNNNNNNNNNNNNNNNNNNNNNNNNNNNNNNNNNNNNNNNNNNNNNNNNNNNNNNNNNNNNNNNNNNNNNNNNNNNNNNNNNNNNNNNNNNNNNNNNNNNNNNNNNNNNNNNNNNNNNNNNNNNNNNNNNNNNNNNNNNNNNNNNNNNNNNNNNNNNNNNNNNNNNNNNNNNNNNNNNNNNNNNNNNNNNNNNNNNNNNNNNNNNNNNNNNNNNNNNNNNNNNNNNNNNNNNNNNNNNNNNNNNNNNNNNNNNNNNNNNNNNNNNNNNNNNNNNNNNNNNNNNNNNNNNNNNNNNNNNNNNNNNNNNNNNNNNNNNNNNNNNNNNNNNNNNNNNNNNNNNNNNNNNNNNNNNNNNNNNNNNNNNNNNNNNNNNNNNNNNNNNNNNNNNNNNNNNNNNNNNNNNNNNNNNNNNNNNNNNNNNNNNNNNNNNNNNNNNNNNNNNNNNNNNNNNNNNNNNNNNNNNNNNNNNNNNNNNNNNNNNNNNNNNNNNNNNNNNNNNNNNNNNNNNNNNNNNNNNNNNNNNNNNNNNNNNNNNNNNNNNNNNNNNNNNNNNNNNNNNNNNNNNNNNNNNNNNNNNNNNNNNNNNNNNNNNNNNNNNNNNNNNNNNNNNNNNNNNNNNNNNNNNNNNNNNNNNNNNNNNNNNNNNNNNNNNNNNNNNNNNUUUUUAUAACACAGGGGACCAAGUAUGUUUUUUGUGAUUUUUUCACAUGAGGACAUUGCUUGUUAUUGGGAAUGGUUGGUAAAGUGUGUUAGGAGUGUUGGAGGUUAUGGUUGGGCACCCUAGGUUCAUGGAAUUUGUCCAUGUUAGUCACUUGAGUAACUUAAGUGAAAAAAGGCCAUUGUAAACGUUUACAGGGCAGUGUAAACGUUUACACGAGAGUUUUUGUGAAAAUGUACAGAAAGUUCUUCACAGGGAGCCAGUUUUUAUAACACAGGGGACCAAGUAUGUUUUUUGUGAUUUUUUCACAUCAUUUAUGGCAGAAAGCAAUGUCCAAAAUUGGAUUUAGUUUACCUUAAUGAAUAAUAUUACAGAAUAACAUCUUAAUGAUAAACAUCAAGGCAACUGAAACAUACAAGUAAUCGUGACUAAAUUUUUGAAGUUGUCAUAAUAGCAUCUUACACUUAUCCAUAGAAAUUAAAAGUUCAGCUGCAUAACAAAACAUUGAACAAAAUAUAUCUUAAAUACACUAGUUGUUGUUUGGUUCUUUGGACGAUUUCGAAACGAAGGGAUGACACAACCACACCAAGAUCGAAGAGAUGACACGCCCACACCAACGACGAAGAACAAUGUAACGAACGAAGAAAUGAGACACCAACGAAGACGCUAUUGUCAGCGAUGGCAAGAACGAAGCCCACAACCACACCGAAAUCAGAACAAAUGAGAUGGAGAAAUCGAAAGAUUGGAAGAACGAAGGCCGCAGCAGUGAGACAGAGAAAUGAGAUGAAAGAGAACGUUUCAAUCCUAUGAAACAGGUCAAGGGCAAAACGGGAAAUCAAAAAUUCAAGUCUGAACCUCUGCAAUGACGUCACAAAUUCAAUUUUAAAAAAAAAUAAAAACGAGCCAAUCCUCUGCCGACACCUGGCAGUGUCAAAAUGGUGUUGGAAUUUUGGUGUCAAAAUAUCGGGACGCUUUAUACAUGGCCCCCAUUUUAUUCAGUUUCAAGUUCCAUCUAUAAUCAAAUUUUUCUACCAUUUGAAAAAUUGAAAAUGUUUAUUUAUUAUUAUUGGAAAGUUGUUGUAAAUCCUAGAGCCGUGUUGUUUGAAUACAUCAGGCAGGCUUGGCAAAGACUGAGAUAUUAGGACUAACUGUAAGCAUAAAUGGGAAUAUUCUUUUCCUUAUUUCUAUAUAAUAAUGUAUCAAGAAGAGAUGUGCUUCUUCUGUUAUAUUUGUUAAUUUCGUCAUGUGGUGUGACCCUUUUACUUCUCUAACACGAUGUUGGUGUCAUUCUACCAUUUCUUUUUUAUUCUAUUCCUUUUUAAGGAUAAAUAAAUCUGACCUAACUAAAUUGCAUUUUAUUUUGUUUAUAAUUUUUGUAAAAUGCUAGUCCUUUUAAAGAAUAAAGUGUGGACAAUUCAUCAUUGAGGAAAUGAAGCUGAAUGAAGUGUGAGAGACCUGCACCAGAAUUGCACCUAUACUGAAAUCAAGGCUAGAGCUGAAUCUAAAACGAUUAUCAACUAUUAACUAUUACUUUACAACUUGACUCCACAUUACUCAUUUUAUAGCAGUAUUAUCUGUCACUUUCUCUAGCAUGUCCCACUCUUUUAAAUGAUAUUUCAUUCAUUCGUCUACAUAUUUUGUUCCUCUUAACGUUAUAAGCUUAAGUAGUAUUUUUCCAUACCAAGUCCAAAUUGUAUAACUUCUCAUUAUACCAUAGAUGAAUAGAUAAUCAUGCAUGUCGCCUAAGUUUUGACAUAUUUGAUUAAAACAACGAAUUAAGAAUAAAAAUACGUUCCAUUCAUAGAGUUUCAGUGUUCUUGAACAUAUUGUAAAAACUCAAAAACUCAUUUUUAAUACUCUUGAUUGAUACGACUUAAUAGCAUUUAAGAUCAAUUACAAGCACAUUAUAAAUUGGGGAAAGUGUAAAUGUUAUAGAAUCCUUAACACAACUAUAUAUAUAUAUAACACAACUAUAGUAGAUUCAGAUGAAGAAUUGUAUCCAAAUGCACUAAUUUUACACGUUUGUCGGUGUAACAUCCUAGCACAGGAUGUUCCAUACAAACAUAUUUAUUGUAGAAAAAAAUAAAAACAAUCAAUUUAAAUAAUUUUGUUACCUUUAACUGAAAUAAAAGUUCAAAUCCUUUAAACGUCAUUUAAAGGAAAACUCAACCGUUUACAACCGAAAGUAAACAAUAAACUAUUCAACAUACUAAAAGUUAAAAAAGUUCAAAAUAUUCCAAAAGAAAUAAAAUCUCCAUUCUCUUAAUGACCUCGCCGCUUUACGCAUCUGCUAGAUUAUCUGUAACAUCAUCUGCUUCUUAUAAUAAAAGGAGUUAUAAAAUCAUCGUACAAACACGAACAAAGUAAGAGUGAGCUAGCAGAAUAAACCUCAAAACACCAUACAACAUUUUUAUUUCAGUCGCUAAAUCUUUACUACAAUCCCCUAAAAGAAAAUAUCAGUAUAUAGUAAGACUUUAACAAGAAAUACAAUAUCAAACCAUAUAUUCCCAUAAAAAGGAAUCAUGAUCAACUCGUUAGUUCUACACCACCUGUCAAUUAAAGGCAACUCUUGUCAACUUCACCGCACUAUUCGUGUUUACCAAAACAUAAUGAUUUGAGUGAUCCUUCACCGCAGCUUCAGACUUAUCUCUCAUGCUCUUCAAGGCUUAUGAGUAAAACUCCAAGUUGCCCUUAUCAUUACUAAACUCGGCAUCCGAAACCUUACGGGCGUGACAUUAAUCCCUCUCCACCCUCUUGAAUCCCAGUCUCUUCCAAUGUCCCUCAUGGAGGAAAGAACUCAUAUCUUCCAUCACCUCUUAAAGAUGAAGAGAUCCACCUUUCUAUCCUCUCACAAGAAGAAAUGAACCAACGUGGAUUAGGAAAGUAUAAAUAGAAAACAUACUUAAAGACAUAAACACCUCCACAUCCCAUAGUUGGUUUAAUACCAUGACACUUUCGUUAAGCUAAACAUUGAUUACGAAAACAAUUACCACACAUCUUGUAACUACAUACAAAGCAUUUCCUGCAUAACGACAUUCUCAAGAUAUUAAAAACCAUACAUACCACAAAAGUGCGAAGUUAAAUAAAACAUAAGAAUAAGUCAACUAUACACUAACCACAACCUUAUAACUUGUUUACUAUAUAACGUAUUCCCAUGAAAACUCUAACCAUUUUAAAAAACUAUACACCCAACUUACACGUAUUCACAUAAAGAUGAGAACCUAUAUAUUUGUUUCUUCAAAAACCCAAGUACAAGUUAUCAUCACCAUCAUCAAUUAUUAUAAGCCAACAAGGUAGUACCAAUGUCACUUAACUUGAUCAAACAUAAGCCCUUCUACACCCCAUAUCAACGUAGGCCUAUUCACCUUUACCUUAUAUAUAACUUGACAACAUCUAACCCUUUUUAAUGUAUGUCAAAUAUGUAUCCAAAUGGCAAGGGAAUCCUAACCGAUAUCUCACCAUAUUUUGACGAACCACUCUUAUAACCACCCUGCUGACCUAAACCUCUCAGCACCCCUUUUCCUGAGUAAGCUUUUUAAUUGCAUCCCAUAAUUUACCUAUACCUACACUGCACCAAAAUUGCAAGCCUACAUUUUUUAUAAUACAUAAGAGAAAAAGUUAGUCCCCUUCUACCUUUCCUCCAACCUAAUACCCUUUCUCUUCUUUUGGUUCACCACGUUGCCGACGUCUCCUUUGCAGUUUCUACAAUCUAUUCUCCUCUCUACACUUUCACAGUUGUUCUCUAUUUUCUCUCCCAACCCUGUCAACAUUUAUAUUCUCCAAGAAACAAAUCUUAUGUUAAAAGAAACGUAACUCACAAAUAAUAAUACUCUUCAUCUCACUAGGGUUCAUUUUCAUUGACCAUUGACAACCUUUAAAUAGAUGUAAAUUGGGCAUUGGGCCAAGUACAAAUAAUAAAAACUGAUAAUAAAAUAUCAACUAACUUGAAAUAAAAUUUACUUAAUCCUUCUCUAUCUUAUAUCAAUAAAACAAAAUAAUACUCCUCCUAAAUAAAAGGAAAGUCAAAAAUACCUAUAUCUAAUAUAUCUUUAUCAAAAUUAAACUACAUAUUAUUAAACCCAAAACUAAUAAGAUUUUAAUGAAUCCCUAAAAUUUAAGUUUAUCCUAACAAAACUCCCCCAUAAAAUUAAAUUUUCUAUCUUUUAUUCGGCUUUCCAUUUGCAUCACCCCGCAUCAAGCUUGCUUAUUUCAAUCAUAUUCGAGUUCUUCUUUUUCCUUAUGGCCUUUUUGUCUUUUACCUUGGUUGACAUCUUUAAUGCUUCGUCUGACUUUUUUAUGCGCUCCUUCUCAAUAACUUCGACCAACUCGUUUCAAUAAUCUCAGUAAUAUUGGUAGACUUCUUCAUCUCCUUCGAAAUUUUACUCAUCAUAUUGUUCGCUAUCUCAAUAUACGAGCUUCUCACACCUUGGUUCUUCUCAACAUCUUCAUCUUCAUCUUUCUCUUUUUCAUCUGGUUCAAGAACACUAAAUGCUUCUUCUUCCUUAUCAAGAGCUGCCUUUUUCAGCUCCUAAAGCUCGACCCUUUGUUUAUUCAUAAUCUCAUUUGCUUCAUCUAGAAGCCUCCCUAUCUGUUGAAUCUCUUCAUCUUUUUGUGUGAGUUUGUUCUCCACGUUCAUUAUUGGGAUCGGGCUCUCCAUGUCCACUGCAUCUGAGUUCUUUGCCAUCAACAAGAUUCCACACUUUUCUUCAUCUUCUUCUUCUUCCAUAAGAAGGUUUCUCUCACCUUUCUUCUUAACUCGACAAAAUUUAGCAAUAUGACCGGACUUACCACAAUUGUAGGGCUUUUUGGAUUUGCACUCGUUUGCAUAGUGGUCAUGCUUGCCACACUUAAAACACUCAACUCUUGCCCGAUCUCCUCGACCUUUCCCUUGUCCUUGGUGAUGCCAAUUUUGCUGACCGGUUUGCUCUUCACUAUCAUUCUCAAAAUUACCUUGGCCAUGUCUACCUCAUCCUCGGCCUCCUCGUCCUCUGCCUCCAAGACCUAAGCUCUGAGUAAUUCAAGUUUCACUUGAGUCAAACUAUGUUUGUAGUGCUUGAUCGUCAGAUUCCUUCUUUUUCUUCUUCUUCCUCAGUUCAUGGGCCUCUAAUGACCCAUCUAACUCCUUCACGGUGAGAGUUGUCAAAUCUUUUGUCUUUUCAAUAGUGACCACGAUGUUACCAAUGAGAAGCAUUGGUAAAUCUUGAAGUAAUGGUUUUGAUGAUGCUAUAAGUAGUUUAACUUGAAGAAGAUAUUAUAAAUCUUUUUAAAAGCACUUUGUGUAAUACAAAUGUAUUAGGAAUGUCUUUAAAUAUGUAAAACUUGUAUUUUUGGUAAUAUUACGUAUUUAAUCGAUUAUUACUUCCCAUAAUCGAUUAUCACAGGUCUGUUUUGAAAACUGCCCAAGUUAUUUUGAAAAACUUGUAACGGACUUGAAUAAUCGAUUAUCACUUACAAUAAUCAAUUAUUACUGGCAGUUGUAACAUGACCCUUCAUAUCCAGACCAACUGCUUAUAAAUAGAUGCUUAGAGAACUUCAGAAGUAACGUUGUUGAACAAAGAACUUUUGUAGAAUACAGUUUGUCUGAGGAAGUUCUCAGAAGCUAGUUCAGUUCCCUUGCUUGGUCUCAUGAAUAGGAGAAGCUCACGUUUUGUGUGUCGAUAGUUGGAGAAGUUCUCUUCGAGUUAGCAAGAUGUUCUGCCUGGUCUCGUUAAUACGAGAAGCUCGUGUUUCGUGUGUCGAAAGUCGGAGCGGUUCUCUUCGAGUUAGCAGAGUGUUCAUCUUCCGGUUCGUUCGUCGAAGGAAGGUUCAAUCAUCAUAUUUUAUUCACACUUAUUGUAAUCUGCGAAAUUGCUUUUUAGUGAAACUGUUAAUCACUUUUUAUAGUGAUUAACAACUGGACGUAGAUUCUUUUGAAUCGAACCAGUAUGAAAAUUAUCUGUGUGAUUUUUCUACUCCCUAUACUUUUUACUAUUAUAUGCACAUCAACGGUUCGAUAAAUUUUCUUUGAGAAAAUUUAUUUUUUAAAACUGAUCAUUUUUAUAUAAGUUGUGACCGAACACGCUUUCCGCUAAACUUAAUUUUUAUUCCGUUGCGUUAUUCUCUGGCUGAUACCAACCAACACACGAUACAUUCAAAAUCUUCAGUCAGAUUUCUUAAGAUCUUUUUCGCAACCCGGUUAGGAGGAACCUCUCCGUUCAUUCUGAGUUGGUUGGCCAUCUUUUGCACUCAAGCUAUAAACUCGACAAAUUCCUCUUUUUCGUUCAUCUCCAUAUGUUGAAACUCUCUUAUGAGAGCUUGUACUCGAACAUGCUUCACAUGGAUAUCUCCUUUGUAUGCCACCUUCAGAAUUUUCCAUGCUUCUUUUUCGAUUUUGCAUUAGCUAUUUUCUCGAAUCUCGAUUCGUCUAUUGCUUUAUAUAGAAAGUACAAAGUCGAUUUGUCUUUUACUCGUGUCUUUUUCAGUGGAGCAGUCUAGUUCACUGUCUGAUGCUCAUAAUGUGCAGGUUCAUUGUACCGUCCUCUACUAUGUCCCAUAAAUCUUGGGAUCCAAGAAGAACCUUCAUCUGCAAAGAUCAAUUGUCGUAAUUGAUCUUUUCUCACAAUUGUGACACCCUCAUUCCCGUUGACUACCUUUGUCAAUUCUCUCACAAAAAAAUCUAAGCACUUACUUUUUCUCCUCAUGGUGUUUCUUAUCACUUUGUUAAAAAAACAUGACUCACACAAAUAAUAGUACUCUUCAAUUCACUGGAGUUCAUUUUCAUUGAUUAUUGACAAUCUUUAAAUAUGUACAAAUUGAGUCUUAGACCAAGUACAAAUAAUAAAAACUGACAAUAAUAAAAAUUGACGAGUUUAUCGUAAUAUCUUAUCCCUAAAUAUAUCUCCUGUCUUCUUAAUCUUCUAUCGAAAAUCCGAGAAGAUUUAAAAGAUAAAACCUUCCCUUGUUUCGGUUACGUUUUAAGAAAAGAAAACAACCCCUUUUGUUUAAUUCACUUUUUAUUUUUAAGUCAUACUGCAUCAUGCACAAUUCGUUUCGUCAAGUAUAACUCACUUUCCAAGUUCAUUGUCUAUUUUUUUUUCCACUUCCUGGCCCACCCAACCAUGCAUCAAUGAAAAGAACUUCUUUUUUCUGUGUGUAUUUGUGUAUAUAGUAACCGAAUGAAAAGAAGCAUGACCAUUUUUCUUUUGGCUAUGGUUCUUUUGGUUUUAGAAAAAGAAGCUUUUGUGUAUUUGUGGGUAUAAACGUCUUAUAUUUGAUGAAGCUAAAAUAACUACAAAGGAAACAAUGUUAUUGAGGGAAAAGCCAAAGGUUAAUUUUGAAAAGAUGAAAAGAAAGUUGGAUUGCACAUGGAAGAAAUAGAUUAUUCAAAUAGUUGACAGUGUGUGGGAAGACUAUUCAGUAAAUGGUGCCCUUUAAUAUUAAUUCAAUUUCACAUAUAUAAUUUGAUUACAUAUCUGAUUUUUUUAAAAUGACAUGAAUCACUUUAGAAAGUGAGUUUUAAAUUUAAUUUAUGUUUAUACAAUAAUUUUAUAAAAUAAAAUUAUGUUUAUUUAUAUAAUGUAAUUUGAUAUAUUUUUAAUAUUAUGCGAAAAGAUUCAACAAAAGGAAGAAGAUCGUUGUAAGGAGUGGAAGAAUUGCAUUGACUUUUGACAAGUGUAGCAUGUGGUUUUCAUUCCAUAUUAAUGUUGGAUUGCCAAACACGUAAGAAACCAUAUUAAUAAGUAAUAAAAAUAGUAAACAUGUGCAGUGUUAAGGAAGUUGAUUUGAUAAUUUGAUGUGUAUAAAAGGGAAGGUGAAAGAGUGUGGAAUGUGCAGAGAUUGAAGAAAACAUAGAUAUGGGAAGUGAGUAUAAGAAAUUGAUGAUUUUGGGUUUUGUGAUUGCUAUUUCUUUCUCCUUCAUCAUGGAGGGAGCACUCGCAGCACGACACCUCAUGCAAGACAAUUUCUGUAUCCCUGCACCUAUCAUUUCCGCUGUCUAUGAUAUCGGUUUCGGCAUUCCAGUAUGUUCUCCUCCACCACCAGGAGGUUCAACAACCACUGUCCCCUAAGUUAAAGGAAACUUGUGCCCUAAUCUCUCCUUUCCAUUUCAUUUCUCCUUUCCAUCAUCUCCUUCCUUUCAUAUGUUUAAUAAAUGAUUAGGGCAUUCUUAUAAAUAAUAUAUAUUUUAUGUAUAUCUUAUAUGCUUUCUCUUUUCUCUUCACCUUCUGCUUUUUUUCUUUUUUUAAUUCUAGUCGUUUCUUUAUUUUCUGCAUUUUUCUGCUACUUUCAAUUUAAUUAUCACGUGAAUGCUUUUUGUUUCAUCCAUCUAUUCCACCGUAGCAAAAAUAAGAUCCUCCAAUAUUAUAUUAAAAUUGUAUGCUAUAUAAAAACGGAUUAUUUAUUUUCUUACAUUUAUAACGUUAAUUAAACUAACAAAAAUUAAAUAUAAAAUACAUAAAGAAUGAUUAAAAAGUAUCAAGAAUUUAAAGCUAGCAUAUAUAUUUACAAAAAUAUAUUAAGAUUAAAAUAACAAGACUUAUAUUUUUCAAAAUUUUACAUUUUUAAAUCAUUUAAUUCAUUUUCCACACAUUAUUAUUUUGACAGUUACAUAAUUUAAUAAAUAUUUUAUUUAUAUUAAAUCAAGGCUUACACUCACUAUUACAAGAAAAACAAUGGAUAUGGUAAAAGCUUCAUUAACUAUACAAAGCAAAAUUUUAAAGUAUUAGAAUAAAAAGUGUUAUUUGAGGUUAAAUAUACUCUCUGCAAAGAUAUCUUCACUUCAUGAAACCUUUAUCCUGUAAAAGAUUUUUUAACACACAAGUCAACACUUGGUCAGAAUAAAUACGUCCCAGCCACAUCUAGUACACUUGGCGCCGUUUGUGGGAAGGUGACACUUGAGCAUACACCCUGGGGCUAUAAUAUGAGAGCGAAUAUCGUCUCCAAGCUGCCAAGUACUAAAAAGAAAGGGAGAUACAAGUCCUUGCUCCAAAUUAAAACUUUUAAUUUAAAAUUUAUUUAUUUAAAAAUUAAAGGAUUUUAAUUUUUUAUGUACAUGUCAUCUAAAAUUUUAAAGACUAAGUAAAAAUUAUUAAAAAUAAAAGAGACCAUAUAUUGAUUUUUUCAAGAUUUAGUCUAGAUCUAAUUUAAAUUCAAUAAAAUAGAUUGCAUCUAUUUUAAAAAAUCCACUUUAAAUUUAAAUUUUAGUCUAGGUCCAUUUUAACUAGAUCAAUUAGAUCUAGAUUUUUUUAAAUUCAAUUUAAGCUGAAUUAAAUUUAUAUUGAAUUUAUUAUGUCACUUAAAUUAAAUAUAGUAAGAUCUAUCUAAUAUAUUUGACAAUUAGGUCUAUUAGACAUAAACUAGAUCGAUUUAACUUGAUUUCGACAUAGGUUGACUCGUAUUAACUUUGGUUUAGUUCACUUAUCUUGAGUUCUCUAGUUUCCUCUUCUCAAGAUAAGUUAGAAUUGAAUUCACUAAUAUGAAAUGAGUCUUUCAUGUCUCGCGUUCAAAGUUAGAAUAGAAAAAAAAUCAAUGCUAAAAAUAACCGCUGACAUUGCUGUAAAUAAAUAUUAAAGUUAAACAUUGAAAAUGUUAAUUUUCUACAAUCAAAUAGGUAGAUGACAUCGGAAAACUCAAAUUGCGAUACAAAUUGACCUUGGAAGUUCAAUUUUUCCACGUUAUAUAACUGUAUGAAUCAUUACAACCUAAACAAAAGUAACCCUUAGGCUGUUAAAAUACGAAUUAGACAUUAGAAUUUUGGGAUUUCUGACAUCAAUUGAGGUUGAAAAUUCUCUUUUUUGACAUUAUAUAGUUGCAUUAAUCAUUACAACCUAAAUAGAAAUGACAUUUGGGCUGUCAAAAUAUGAAUCAAAUGCUAGAAACAUAAUAUUCCGACAUCAAUUAACGUUGGGAAUUCUCUUUUUGAUAUUAUAUGUCUUGUAAAUUUGGUGAAUUCAUUAAAUCGUUUGGCACGUAGGUGAAAAAUUUACUCACAUAAGACAUUUGAUAACCUAGAUUCCGAUGUCAAAUGCCCACAACAUGUCAGACUCUACAUUUUCUGGCGUCAUAUGUCCUAUAAAAAUUUUGUACCAAUAGAUAUCACACACAUUAUUUUUUCACCUUUCAUUUCUACUCGAACCAACAUCUUUGUUGACGAGUACAAGGAAGAACAAAGGUUAGUUUUGUGUCAUUUACCUCUAGCGAAAGUGUUUUUGUUGCCUUGGUUGGGAUAUUUGAUUAGUUUCAAACUCCACCACUUCCAUGUGAACCAAUUAGUUCAUUCACGAGUGCAAGGAAAAUCAAAUGUCAGGGUUAUUUACCAUAAAUGUAUGUGUUUUCGCAAGCAGAGGUCAUGAUUUUGUUUGUGUUUUGAUGGAUUCAUUUUGUGUUUUUGUGUUCCAUCCAAGGUCCACCACAAUAAACAAUAAUGUCAAAAAGUUCUUCAUUCUCUAUUGGUGCCAACAACUGAUAUCUAUCAAGGUUUGUUUCUUGGUUUUGAUAUACAUUGCAAUGUACUGAUAUAUUAUUUGAUAUGUGAGUUUUAGUUUCCCUUAUUGUAAUUUUUGUGUUAUUUCUUGUAUGUGUAAUUGAUUUUUGUAUGUUUCUUAUUAGUUAGAUAUUUUUUAAUGUGAUUUUUGGCAUUUUAUCUUCACUCAUUUUCUUAAAAAUAGUAUGAAUCAAAACUGAAUGAAUGAAUGUCAUCAGUCAAGAGUAUGAAAAAGGAGAUUUUGAAUUUUUACAAUAUGUUCAAGAACACGAAAACUCUGUGAACGAGACAUAUUUUUCUCUUUGUGUUUGAUGUCUUAGUCAAAUAUCUCAAAACUAGGGCGACAUAGUGAUCAUCUAUUCAUCUAGAGUAUAAUGAGGAGUUAUACAAUUUGGACUUGGAUGGAAAAAUACUACAUAAGCCUACAACGUCAAAAGGAACAAAUUAUGUGGUUAAAUGAAUGAAUGAUCAUUUAGAGGAUAUGGUACAUGAUAUAGGUGAAGAAAAUUUUAGAUAAACUCAUUUAUAUGAUUCUUUUAAAAAUGAUUCAGAGAAAGAAUUGUAUCCAUGAUGAACCAAUGUUACACGCCUUUCGGUGUAACAUCCCAGCUCAGGAUGUUCCACAAAAACAUUUUUAUUGCAGAAAAAUAAAAACAAUCAAUUUAAAUCAUUUCACUACCUUUACCAGUAAUAAAUAAAAGAAAAACCCAAAGAAUGAGACCCUUAUCAAUACUUGAGCCCAAGUCCCUUACAUGCAACCUCGUACCCUUACCACCAAAUUACAAGCUCUGCAUUGAUAUUACACAAAAAAAAUGCACAUAUAAACCAUACAAAUCACAUUAUAUAUAUAUAUAUAUAUAUAUAUAUAUAUAUAUAUAUAUAUAUAUAUAUAUAAAAGUAAAUAAAAUUAUAAAUUAAUUCUUUUAUCCACUAACAAUUUUAACACAAAUCCACACAAAACUAAUUCACUUUAUUUUAUUAUAUAUUUUAUUUUAUUAUUUUUUUCUUCGGAUUUUAUAAUUGACAACUUUGAAAUUGUUUUGUUUAAAAACAAAUAAUUUAUAUAUCAAUAAAAUUGCACAUAAUUGUUAGAGUUGCUAGAGGAGAUGUUUCCAAAAAGUAACACGUUACCUAUUCCUAAUUACAAAGCAAGGAAAAUUCUAUGUCAAAUGGAUUUGGAAUACCAAAUGAUACAUGCAUAUUCUUUGAUUCAUAUUCUGAAUAAACUUUCCGUUUGUGUGUAAUGUUGUUUUGCACCAUAAAUAAUUUCCCAACAUGUGUAAACUUGAGUAACUACAAUGUUAAAGGUCAUUUUUCAUGUCCCAUUUGUGAAGAAAAACACUAGUUAUAUUCAAUUCAAGCAUAGCUAGAAAAUUGUGUAUACAAGAAAAUUGUAACGCCCCGACAACUUACAGGGAAUAUUCCCCACACAUCAAGAGGCUUUCCAAUGUGCUUUGUCCUCACUCGCACACCUUCUGUGAAGUUUUCCCAAAAAUUGUGCGAGUGAGGACAAAGCACAUUGGAAAGCCUUUUGUUAAUGUAUAGGGACAGUCAAUAUUCCUUGUAAGUUACCGGGGCGUUACAGGGCCUGAACAAAGAAAUACAUAAUCCUUGAGUUAGGAGUCGUUUAGGAAGUUGUAGGUCCAAAUGGAGGAAAGACUAAACCAACACAUGCCUAUUAUAGAGCAACCCUUCAUGGAACGCCUUUAGCAACAAGAAGAAAUACUAAUAGUAGUUGAAGAAACACUUCAGUCAAUGACCCAAUAGAAGGACAAUCUCCUCGCCGAAGAUAAAACAUAACGUUUUGUGGGCACUAAAGGCUCAUGCUCUGCUAGAGAUCAUACUGACUACACUUGUUAGUAUGAGCUAUUGGUUGAUCAAGAUCUCCCACACGUAGUGGUCCUAGGAUGACAACUUACAAAAGGACAAACUAUUAAUGGUGCUGCUUUAUUGUCCACUAUACUCAUGUGACAAUUGAUGAAGUCUGAGAGUUCUAUGCUUAAGUGUCUGUGCCAACUUCUAAAAUACAAUUCAUGCGGGAGGACUUUGACACUGGUUUUCUUUCAUUCAUUUUAACCCAUAUUUUUUUUAAAAUAAUAUGAUGCAUAGAAUAACAUGGGUCCAAGGAUCUUUUAUUCACUUUAGUCAUGGUGCAAUAUUUUAAUGUCUAGAAAAUUCAAUAGAAACUAACACAUUGGUUUUAAAUAAAAAGAUGACGCUUGGUUUUAUGAGUUAAAGUUUUCAAAUUUAGUUUUUGUGCAGUGCAAUUUUGUGGAUAGAAAGUAUUUUAGAAGGUUCUCAACGUGCAGUUUUAUUUUUGUGUUUUUUGAGCAUUUGUUUUGGUUAUUUUAUGUGUUUUGACAUGUGCAGUGAUAUAUACUCUAUUAGCUGAGAGUAAAGAAGGAAUAAGGCCAUGGUGUGAGUGAAAUUCAUGAUGAAUAAGUGUCAUUAGAUUUUGCUGUACUUUUUGAAGGGUUAACGCAAAUGGUUUAGAGAAAUUCUAAUGCAUGAUCUUUUGUUUUUUGUUAGGAAACAUAUGUUGUAAUUUUUGUGCAUUGCGGUGUGGUACGGGAAAUUUCCUUGAUGCCAUGAUAUUUAUGGUUAAAAAUCUGUUGUGGUGGUGCAUUGUUUUUAAUUUGGAAAUUAUAGUGUAGUUUGGCAAGUAAAUUGAAAUGAACUCAUGCCGAAAACUUCUUGUUUUUAAGUUAUGGUGUUGUCUGGAAAUAUUGGUCUCUUAUGAAGUGAUUUUAAGUGUUAUUAUGAUUUAUUUUGGUGUGAUAAAUUGUGUGUUUUAGCUGCUUGAAUAUUUGUAGUUGUUUGGUGAAUAUUGUAAAUUGUAUUGAAUUAUUUAAUUGAUUAUGUUUGUUACUUUUUUUUAUGGUACAAUCUAUAUUUUAGAAUGGUAAUUGGUUGUGCGUAUUGUUGAAUUUUACUUGUAAUUGAUAUGUAAAUGGCUGGGCGUCAGGUGUUAAGGUUGAUGUGUGGUUACUGAUUUUGGCCGAGACUUAUGAUGAUUAAACCAAAUUGCUUGUGUUGUUUUGUCCUGCUAUAAUGGUCCUUCAAUGCUAUGACUGAUGAGUGAACUCAUAUUGUUUUAUUGUGGUUUGGAUAUGUGGUUGUAUAAGCUGUAAAGAUUAAUCUGUGGUUGAAACUUGGUUAUGAUGUUGUUGUACCGUGUGAAGUGAAAGUUUAGUUAUCUGCUAUGUCUUCGUUCUAUACUGUUGUAAUAAUAUCAUAUUAUUGCAAAAGAAACGUUGUACAACGGUAAUAUUCCAUUAUUCAAAUUUUCAAUGUCAAUUAAUUUUGUAACGUUAAAAUCAUUUAUUGGUUUUAAUUUCUUUUUAUUUCUUUUAUUCUUUUCUAGCUCUAUAAAUAGAGAGUUCUUCCCCAUUCCAAAUCACCACAUUGAGUCUUUCUCGUUCUACUCUCUUCUUAGUUUCAUUCUCUUUUCAUCCUGGGUAUUAAAUUCUAUUAGAGUUUCUUGUUAGUUUUGUGAUACUCAAAUAUGUUCGAAAAGUUUCUGUUGUAUGGGGGACUUGUGCAACACACCACGGAUAAGUUCUUAAACAGACCUCAGAAAAUUGCGAUUCGAGAUAUUGGUCAUUAUUUUAGUAUAAUCUUAAGGACUUAUAUUUCACUCUUGUUACUGUCAAAAGUCAAAAAGAUAUGAAAAAAUUAUUAUAUAUGAUAAUGUGAAUAUAUUCUUGAAAUUUUUAAGAGUAUGGAAAGCUAAUCUUAUUUAUCUAUUAAUUGAUAAUAUAAUUUAGCUAUGAAUGUUUUCUUAAAUAUUUGUGUUUUAUUUAAAUGACCGGUGAUAUUUUUAAUAUUUUCUAUAAUCAAUGAAAAUUUGUUCGAGUCAUUAGAUGUUGAUUACUUCCAUGUAUUCAUGAAAUUAAUUUUAUGAGAUGUGAAUUUUUAAAGAGAAAAAUAAUUUAAAUGGAUAGGUAAAUAUGGUGACUCUAACGUAACAAUGUUAUGUUAGGCAAUCAAUUAUUCUUAAAGUAUUCUGAAGAAAAAUUAAAAGGAAAACUUUAACAUUAAAGACAAUUAAUUUUGUUUGAAUGUUUUGAGAAAAAAAAAAUGGUCGGAUACGAUGAUGGUUCAAAGGAUCUGGUGGUUUGCGUCUCCGACGAGGCUUCAUGCGUGGCUGGCGGUGUGAUCUGGUUUUGCAGGAACUUGGAAGGUUGCGGAUUUUGUGGAACCACGCAGCUUCACUGUCCCCGAAAUUGUUGUGGUGUGUUAUGGCGAAACAGCUUGGAAUGCUACUGAAAAAAAAAUCCAGGUUUUCUCUCUCUUACCAACAAGGGUUUCGUGAUUUCAUUGAAUAUUGCAUUUUAGGUCCUCCAAAUAAAUGCUUUACAAAGGAAAGUAGCAUUUUGUGUGAACACUCAAUUCUGCACUUCUUUUGGUUCGAUAGAAUGAAUAAUAACAUAUUAAUUCGUGUUAUUUUUAUUUCUAAUAAAAUUGGCACAAAGUCUAAUGAUAUUGUUGUAUUAAAAAAAAAAAAAGAUAAAAUAUGAAGUGUUCUUCCUUCAUGAACUGCUGUAUGUGUUUCUGCAGUUUCUAUCAUAUUUGGGUUGAUUAUAAUUUGGAUAAUGCUAACUGAUAGGGAUGCUAGAGGGUUGAAAAAAAAAUGUAAUAUAAUCUUUAUUUUAGUUGAGGUGUUUAAUUAUAACCUUAUGUUUGAAAAAAAAAAGUUUUUUAAUUGAUACUGAAUCAAAUAUAUUAGUUAUUUUUUUUACUAGAGAAAUGAAAAAGAAAAUUGUGAACGCUGAUACAUGUUAGAAUUUAUUUACUGCUAUUUUUUUUCUAUUUAUUACACGCGUUAAGUGUUUGAUACGGGAAGAAGUAUGAAAGUUUUGUUAAAAAUAACCGUUGUCAUUGCUAUAAAUAAAUAUUAAAGUUAAACAUCAAAAAUGUUAAUUUUCUACAAUCAAAUAGACAUAUGUAAUCGGAAAACUCAAAUUGCGAUAUUGAUCUUGGAAGUUCAAUUUUUUGAUGUUAUAUAACUGUAUGAAUCAUUACAACCUAAACAAAAGUGAUCCUUAGGCUGUCAAAAUACGAAUUAGACGUCAGAAUUUUGGGAUUUCUGACAUCAAUUGAGGUUGAAAAUUCUCUUUUUUGACAUUAUAUAGUUGCAUUAAUCAUUACAACCUAAAUAGUAUCAGACGCUAGAAACAUAAUAUUCCGACAUCAAUUAAUGUUGGGAAUUCUCUUUUUGAAGUUAUAUGUCUUGUAAAUUUGGUGAAUUCAUUAAAUCGUUUGGCACAUAGGUAAAAAAUUUACUCACAUAAGACAUUUGAUAACCUAGAUUCCGAUUCAAAUGUCCACAUGUUAGACUCUACAUUUUCUGGCGUCAUAUGUCCUAUAAAAAUUUUGUAAAAAUAGAUACCACACACAGUAUUUUUUCAUCUUUCAUUAUUACUUGAACCAACAUCUUUAUUGACGAGUGCAAGGAAGAACAAAGGUUAGUUUUGUGCCAUUUACCUCUAGCAAAAAUGUUUUUGUUGCCUUGGUUAGGAUAUUUGAUUAGUUUCAAACUCCACUUCCAUGUGAACCAAUUAGUUCAUUCACGAGUGCAAGAAAAAACAAAUGUCAGUUUUGGGUUAUUUACCAUAAAUGUAUGUGUUUUCGCAAGUGGAGGUCAUGAUUUUGUUUGUGUUUUGAUGGAUUCAUUUUGUGUUUUUGUGUUCCAUCCAAGGUCCACCACAAUAAACAACAAUGUCAAAAAGUUCUUCAUUCUCCGUUGGUGCCAACAACUCAUAUCUAUCAAGAUUUGUUUCUUGGUUUUGAUAUACAUUGCAAUGUACUCAUAUAUUAUUUGAUAUGAGUUUUAGUUUCCCUUAUUGUAAUUUGUGUUAUUUCUUGUAUGUGUAAUUGAUUUUUUGUAUGUUUCUUGUAAGUUAGAUAUUUGUUAAUGUGAUUUUUGGCAUUUUUGGAAUGAGGGUAUAUGAAAGGAAUCUAAAGCAGAUACCAGAUUUCCAGCACCAACUGUGCAGAAGCCAUUUAUGAUGUCCACAAGAACAAGACCAUUUACUGUAUCUUCAGCUAAAACCACGGACUCCUGAUCCAGAGGAAUCUCCUUCUUUAGGAGUUCAACUGUCUGUGACACCAUUUUGGUUUUCACUUACCUGAUAAUUUCAGAGAUAUGCCUAACAAUUGUGUGUAUUCAAUGUCACGGACAGGUUUUUAGUGAAAUCUUUAUUUUAUAAUGCAGAAAAAAUAUAUAAGGUGGUGAACAUGAUCUGCAUAGUGUUAUCC
RNAcentral lists this long non-coding RNA (64169 nucleotides) under Vigna radiata. Its description in RNAcentral is "long non-coding RNA (VRAD_LNC007191)". Lineage: Eukaryota; Viridiplantae; Streptophyta; Magnoliopsida; Fabales; Fabaceae. The record is from RNAcentral.